UCCCUUAUAGCUUUGAAACUGAUUUUUUCAUAUAGUUUCUAAUCAUGCAGCAACGCGCGGGCAAUGUUUCUAGUGGUUACCUAGUUGUGAGGCUUUAAAAAAAAUAGUAAAAUUGUUUUGUAUUUAAUUACUAUAUUGCCUGCAAUUCUUAUCUUGGUUGUUUUUCUUUAGUUUUGUUAAUGUUAAUUUUGUCUUUUCACCAUCUUUUAGUUGAUAAAGAGAAUUUUAUUAAUAAGUAGUUUAGAUAAUGAAUAUAAAUUUUGAAAAUACAGAGUCUCAUAUAAAAUUAAUGAAUACUAGAGUAUAUGAAUCUACAUAUACAAAGAGGGAAAAAACAAAAAUGAUGAACUUUCAUAAUACCGAAAUUGACCUUCUCUCAUUAGAAAUUUAAAAAACAAAUAAAUAAAUAUUCACAAAAACAACCCAAGGUAGUGAGCCUGGGUGAUUAGUAAGUUCAUUAUUUUUUGAAAUAUAUUUUUUAUAAAAAAUAAAUAUUAAAUAAAAAAGAGUUCAAUGCUGCACGUGUAUGACAAGAGGUUAGUGAUAAGAAAGAGAGAUAAAAAUAAAGUUGUAAGAAAAUAAAUUGCGGUUUGUAAAAAAAAGAUGAAUAAGUUUGGGGUGUUGUGACCCACGACUAGGGAUGGGCAAAUACCCAUUGGUUAUGCGUAACCGCGGUUAUUUGUAUAUUUAAAUUUGACGGUUACGGUUAUGGGUAACUGUUUAGAGGGUAACCGCGGUUAUCAGUCCAUUUAAAUUUAACGGUUACGGUUAUGGGUAUAACUAUUUACCCGUGAAAUUUAAAUGGGCGGUUAUGGGUAUUACUCGCUGUUAUAAACGGGUACCCAUUUAACCAUUUAUUUUAAUAUAUGUAAAACUAAAAAAAAAAAAUUAGUUUCUAACUAGGUUUAGUAUCCCCAGAUAUAUUUGGUAAUAAAGGCCCAUAUAAUAUAUAUAGAUGCCUCACUUGAGAGAAAAAUAUAGUUGAUAGAAUGGGCUAAUGUUUAAUAUAUGUGAUUGAAUGUGCUAAAGUAUUAAAGUGUUCGAUAGUUUUGUUUUAGAGUCUUUUGGAGUUUUGACAAAUUCAAGAUAAUGAUUAGCUUGAGCAUUUAGAAACAUGUUAUUAUCAGAUGAUACAUACCUAUAUAUAUAUAUAUAUAUAUAUAUAUAUUCAAUUGGCCUCGAGUUUUCAAUAAAUAUUUGACCCCAAAAUUAGAAAUCGAUUAAAUGGCUUGGAUCGAUGAACAUAUGUUUCUAAAUAAAAAUCCAAAUAUUUAUCAAAUUAGCUUAUUAGCAGAUUGAUGCGUACUUACAUAUAUAUAUAUAUAUAUAUAUAUAUACACAGAGAGCUUAAGGGGAGGGAUCCCCAUUUUUUGAAAAAAAUGGGGAUUAGGUGUGGGGCCCACUUCACAUCAAAUUUCAACGAUCCGAACCGUCUAUUUUGUUAGUCUCGAUUCAUAGAUCAUCCUUGCAAAAAUUCAAUUCAAUCCGAAACCAUUUGCCUAUUUAAUUAUCAAUAUCAAAUUUCAUAUUUUCUUAUAUAACAAAGUAUUCGUUCAUUUCCUUGAACCCAAUUAGAUGUCUUAAACCUUUCCAAUUUAGCUAAUAUUUUGCAAGGAUGAUCUAUGAAUCGAGACUAACAAAAUGGACGGUUCGGAUCGUUAAAAUUAGAUUGAAGUGGGCCCCACACCUAAUCCCCAUUUUUUUCAAAAAAUGGGGAUCCCUCCCUUUAAGCUCUCUGUGUAUAUAUAUAUAUAUAUAUAUAUAUAUAUAUAUAUGUAUGUAUAUGUAUACAAGAAUAUUAAUUAACCUACAACCAUGCAUGAUUCUUGUAAUAGAUUGACCGUCAAAUAAUUGGGAGACAUCGCAUAUAUUCAUAAAUAAUAUUGCCGUUAAUAUAAAAAUACAUGUUAAAUGUACUUACAACGGUAUUUAAUAGUUAGAAAAAAGAAAAUUAUGACAAAUUUCUUUUUAAUUUUCAAGUUGUUAAAAAAAUAGGUAGACGGGUAAAAAAAAAAAGGUAAACGGGUACGCGGUUAUGGGUAAAUGGGUAUGCGGUUAUGGGUAUGGUUAACCGUUUAUAAACAGUUAUGGGUAUGGGUAUACCCGUUUAUGUAAAUACACAACGGGUAAACGGUUAUGCGGGUAAAAGCUUAAACGGUUAUGAGAAAAUAACCGCGGUUAUCCGCCUGCCAUAACCGUUGCCCAUCCCUACCCACGACCUCUCGCACCUGGAACGAGAACCAUACCAUUAGACCAAACAUCCACUAUUUUUACGCUUGACCUAUAUUCUUAUCUUAAACAAGAAUAGUUUUAGCUUCUUAAUCCAUAAUUGUACACUGCCUGAGCUACUUUCCGUUUUUCAAAGAUGCAGUUCAUACACGAAGACGUUGAUGUUUGUCUUCGACGUUUUGUCGGUGUGUGUCUGGGCCUAAGUUUGAUGACAUUGUCGGUUGGAUUUUAGAAAAGGAAUGAAAGGAAUAGUGGCUUUGCUAAUAAUGCAGAGAGUGAAGGAUAUAAAUGAAAUAAUACACAUUUUUGCAUUAAUGCUGCACAAGUAGUUACGAAAUAUUUAAAAAGCUUCGGGUUCGAUGCUUUGAGCUGGUUAGUCUGUUUAACUGUGGUUAUAGGUAGGGUGAAAUUUCUAAUGUAAUCUUCAACUGUGCUUCAAUAUAAUUAACAGGAGUAAGCGUUAUUGCUUGUUUCCAAUACUCGGCGGCUUGAUCGAACCAAGCCUGCGCAAUUUCGGAAUCUCCUUGUUGAACGGCCUGUUCUCCCUAGUCGGAAUAGGGGGGGCGGUAAAUUCCUUCCCUUAGAACCGUACUUGACAGUUUCCGACCUCAUAUGGCUCAACAGUCAAAUUCUUUUGGUGUCCUAUUUUUUUAAUACCCUAUCUAAUUGAAUGAGAUUUCUCAAAGACAUAUCCUAUUCUUUUUUUCUCGAGUUAACCAAAAGAAAGAGGUCUCUUCGGACUCGGAAGGGGUGAAUAAUUGUGGCAUGCCAUCAGUUGUUACUCUUUUAAAAGAAAAGAAAUACUCAAAAAGCUUUACUUCAGUUUGCCGUACAUUUUGUAGCUAGGUUCGAACUUAUGAGAAAAGCAUAUUUACUUAACAUAAACGAGAGAAGGAAAGAAUCAGAAAACUUAAAAUGGGAGGAAGUGAGGAAGUGAAUAAGAUCAUCUAGCUCCAUUAAUUGAUAUGAUUCUUGAUUUUUUGUUUUUAUUACAGAUUUUAAGGUAAAAUUCACAUUUUUGCGAUUUUAUAUGUGUUAGUUGUUAGGAUGCCAAAUGGCAUCUCUGCAUUGGAUAUUAAUUUGUACAGUUGUCAUGUUCAUUGGUUAUUGGGUAACUAAUAAUUAUAAAUUUGUUUUAGGAGAGGGAGCAUUUUUGCUCACCACCAUAAACUAUGGUGUAUGCUCACCAUACACCUAAUCAAUUAGCACGUGUUCUUUCACUUAAUCUUAGUUAAUUUUUUUCAAAAUUGAAAAACUAACAUUUAAUGUGAAAGUUAACUAGAGCUAGGUGAAAGAACACGUGUCAAUUGAUUAGGUGUAUGGUGAGCAUACACCAUAGUUUAUGGUGGUGAGCAAAAAUGCUCCCGCCUUUGAAUUGCUUGUAUACUAGCAAAUUAGCAAUUGUACCCAAAGCUCCAUGUUGAAGAUAUUGAUUGGUGUUUUGGUUCUUGAGCAAUGACAAUUAUUAUUCUUGUAUAUACGAGUCAAGAUUCGUUGUCUAGCAUUGGUAAACAAGUUAUGUAGAAUGAUUCUCGUGCCUACGUUUUAGUAAAUAUUUGAAGCUGAAUUGAUUCAUGUUUUUAUUCGCUGCACAUAAACAUGUUCUUACUUGAUAUGCAUAGUUUACAAAUAAAAUCCGUUGCAGAUGAUUCCACAUAUGAUUUAACCUUGAAUCCAAGCGUGCUAAAGAAAUGAAUAAUAAAUAAAACACUGUCACAACUGUUAGUAUACGAAAAUUUAAGAUUUUUUUCUCUCUUCCUUACAUGGUCGUAUCAAUGACUUAAUACUAUAGGUACACUUAGAGCACUUCCACCGUGCUCUUUUGCCCUAUGGGCAGGCCCCAUUUGCAAUCCAAUCCCCUUCAAAGUGGUGCCAGCCCAUUCGAGCAAUUAAGCUGAGGGGGAGCCCAUAGGAGAGCUUAGGCACAAGUCCAAGGCUUGAGCGCCUGAGGGGGAAUGAUGCAAGGCUGACGUCAGCCAUGUUAUAAAAUAUUUUGCGUCAGGCAUGUGCAUAACACACGAGCAUGGGGAGUGCGUUACCGACAAGAUUUUAGGCGGUGGGGCCGACAUUGUAGCCCACUAAGUAGCAUUGCAUCUGGACCGUUUGAUUUCCAAAUCAACGACCUAGAUUUUUUCCGUUUUAAAAAUUAAAAAAUAAGAAAAAAAUAUAAAUGUUUUGGAAGGGACACGUGUCACAAUCUGGACUGUUGGAUUUCAAAUUUUUUUGUAAUCCGACAGCUCAACUUAAUUAAGUUAAUAAAAAUAAAUAAAAAAAUCUGAAAAAAUUAAAAAAAAAUUAAAAAUUAGAAUUUUUUUUCUAUAAAUACCUUACCAUUUUCUUUCAGAUAAUGACACAUGGACGUGACGAGAUCAGUUAAAAAUCCAACCCGAAAUUAAAAAUAAAAUUAUUUUUUAUUAUUUUAGAACAAAUGAAAUACUAAUAUUUUAUUGCCUAUUGUCAUGGCUAUUCAGUUUAAGGGUGAAGAUGCAAAAGACAAUUAUUGUUUAUUAAAGACAAUUACUAUUCACUGGAGGGGAUUGAAUUGCCUAUUGCCAAUGGGAGCCUUUACACAUUAAAAGUGCUCUUAGGAGCAAUUCCACCCAUAAUCAAGGGCAAGUGCUUCUGGAUUGCCCGUUAAACUAAAAAAUGUCCUCCAGCAAGUGGUGAGCCAAGCCAAACCCGACCCAAUGUUCGUGCAAGAAUUGCUUAGCCUUUCGUUCCGCCCACAUUCCUUUAUUUUGUACAAAAUACCUACAGUUGUCCCCUGUAUCUACAGCUUGAUACAGGACUCAAGCCCACACGUGGAAUGAUGUCUAACCCCAUAUUGGGAGAAAUUUUUCAUUGUAACGGGAACACGGGUGGUACACCACAUCUUUUUAUGUAAGUGGUGGGAAAUUUUAUUUUUUAAGUUAUUAACUUUUUAACACAUACAAAUCCUACCAUUUGUAUAAUAACAUGUGGUGUACCCCCUCGUGUGCAGGUCACACUGAAAAAUUUCUCCCAUGUUGGCAAGUUUCUUGUUAGGGGGUGUUUGUUUGCCUUCUUUAGCUCUCACUGGACUGGCUUAGAUUAAAAAUUAGUGCAAUCCGUGUUUGUUCAUUGGCGGGACUAAGUUUAAUGGGACAAGGGAUGACUCGCCUCGACUAAAUCCCUCACCAUGAGGUCUUAGCAAGGCCCCCCAAAAACAAUAGGAUUGCUAGUCCCGUCUCCCUCAUCUGCAAGCAGCGUCCCACAAACCCACAUGAGCAGCAUCAACCCCCUUCUCCUGUGACCAAACCAAAAACAGUUGUCGCUGAUCUCCGUCAUCUCGCAAACCAAGCGCCCUUUUACCAUCUGGGUCGGUGAUUUGGGGGCUUUUGCCAUAUAGGUUGACCUGAACGACGGCAAAGACGGGUCUUUUGCUACCUCUGCUUCGCUUUGCCCCUCCCAUCUCCUUCUUCCCUGCUUCCCACAACCAGAAAACCCAAAAAAAUUGAACCCAUAAAAGCCAGAAGACCGAACCCAGAAAGCCCAAAAAGAGAUGGAGAGACGGAGAGGGAGGAGAGAGUAACUUUGGGGACGAUUUUGCAGGAAAAUGGUUUUGAAGUGUUUUGCAGAAAAAAAAAUGGAAUUGAACUUUGAAGCAUUUUGAAGGAAAAAAUAUGGGAGGAAAGGAAAUAAUGGGCGAUGAAACCAAAGAGGAAGAAGGUACUCUCUAGAGAGAGGUAGAAGCGUAGAGAGUGUUUAGAAUUUUUAGAAGGAAAAGGUUGAAUUCAUAAUAAAAUAUUAUUAGAUAUAUAUUAAAUAUUAAAUAUUAUAAUUUAUUAAUUAUUUUAUUUUUUAGUUCGAUACUGCAUCAAACAUUUCACUAACUUAAUCUAGUUUAGUCUAAUCUAAGCCAAUCUAACUUAGUCCCCGAAGCUAGUCCAGUUAAAAAUAUUCCGGUACAACAAACACACCCUUAGGAGCUUGAGUUAAUAUUUUGUACGAAAUACCAAUAAAUUUGCCUUUGCCACUAUGCUCUCUGACUGCUCUCAUUCGAGCAACUUAACUUUUUCCAUGUGCUCUAUAAUUCCACAAUUUUAGAACCCACCCCACCAUACCCAUACGAAUAAUCAAUUUCAUAAAAUUAUAGCAGUUUUUGAAUUUUGAUCCAGUUGGAGUUUAAUCAUUGAAAUAAAAAUUUGUGACCAUUAGUUUUUGUAUUUUUACUGUGUGUGAAGUGAUGGUAGUAGGGAAAAGAAUCCUAUACUCCCUCUGUUAUAACUUCCGUCCCUAAUUUUCCUCUUAAAAUCCAUUAAUCUGACUAAAAGUUCUAAUAGUGUUAUUAGGAGUAUUGCUCCAUAUUGUGACGAGUUUCGAAACCAAUACUCACAUAUUUUUAAUUUAGGAACCAAAAUUUCAAUUGAAUGAAAGCUUCAGUUAGACCAAAUACAAAUACAUUACAAAUUCAAUUUUCUCUAGCUAAUUUCAAUUUUGACAAAGAAAAGAGAUGAUGAGGUUUCAAUUUGAACUUCCAACUCCAUUAGCCUCCUAUUGUAAUUGAACAGGCACAAGAUGAGUGUGUGUCCACAUUUAAUACAUAAAUUGGACUAUUGAUGAGAGGUUGUUAUGAAAAAUUGGUUGAUAGUUUAGUUGAUAUGAUGAUCACGUGAAUUAGGUAUUUGCUUGCAAAUGCCACCAUUCGUUUCCUCUUUUAGUCUCCCAACUGUGACAAAUUAAACCACCAAGCCCCAAUAAAAGAAAAUAAAUGGGGGCUCAUGAGGAAAGGGCGCGCUCUAUUGAAGAUUGCAAUUCGAAAAUUUGACAUAAUAAAUUAUAAUUUAUAUUGAAUAGUUUCACUUGUAAUUACAGUUGUCUUUUUUAUAAAAAUCAACACUUGUCGAGCUGUGCAAAUAAUUAAGUUGAGAUAAUAUUGGUGCAAGUAAUUAAGUUGAGUCAAUAUUAGUGUAAUUACAUUGAAUGGUUCACCUCUCAUUCUUGACCAAGUUUGAUUCUCGUUUACAUUCCAAGAGUUGAUGUAUUCCAAUACGUGCAUAAAUAAUCAUGCAUGUGUUAGAUGGUGUAGGCUUGAUAUACAUUUUAUAUGUUUGUCACUCUUAUUUCACAAGUUGGGCUAUUCUUGCAUGUGCAUAAAUAAUCUCACACAUGUCAAACAGUGUAAGUUUGAUAUACAUUGUUGACUCAUUCCCUUACAGUUUAAGUAUUUAGGGACAUGAGUUGAUCAUAUAACAUAAAUUACUUGGGUAAAUUAAACGUGGGUUUGUGUAAAAAGCAUGGUAUUAAUGGGAUCCGUGUAAGUAGGUUUAGACAGAUAAGAUAUGCAGUUGGGAGUUCUUGAAUGAAUGGCAUUGUGAUAUGGAGGAUGAAGUCGGUAUGCACGUUACGGUCCUUUUCUUCUCCCCUAAACGCAAGGUCACCCCUAAAGAAAGGGUCCCUACCCUAACCUCAUGUGAAGCCCUUAAAUUUCAGUGUCGAUGUGCUUUUAGAUCAAAGUGCUUAUAAACCCUAUAUAAUAAGCUUUGUAAAGAUGGGUAAUACCAACAGCUUAUAGAAUAAGCCGUUUUCUUCUUGAUCUUUUCUCUCCCCCUUACGUCUGUGUUGGGGGUGCGGUUCCAAUGAAGAUUCUCCAGAAGUGCUUCUGGCUGUGUCUGCUUUUUGUGAGCUUUAGCCAUGCUGAGCAGACAGUUGAGGUAGUAGGGGUUGGAGAAUGUACUGACUGUGCUCGGAAUAACAUUAAGACUAGCCAUGCCUUUUCUGGUAACAAAAUUUCUGUUUGCAUUUUCUGUCAUAAGUUGCUAAUAUUUUAGGUAUUUUUGCAUUGCCAUGCACAUUACUAUGUUGCAAUAUUGCAUGAACUUCAAAAGUGGACAGCAAAGUGACUAUAUUUGGAAUAGUAAUGUUAGUGAGACUAAAUUUGUACAUAAAAUUUUGUAAACUAAAUGACAUGAAAGUUGAUGAUUGGAUUAUUACUUAAGUAUUGAGAAAUAUGCUCAUAAACUUAACAGUUUCACUGAAGUUUCCGCUUUCUAUGUAUGGAACUUAUAUAUAGCUUAGAGCACUUGCUCAUACACUUAACUCUUGCUUUCUUCCUCUUGUGAACUAAGAAACCAAUUAGGGUUUAUUCUUGACCUAAAUUGUUAUUAAACUUAGCUACAAUUUUACAGGUCUUCGUGUAACAAUUGACUGCAAGCCCGAAAAUGGGCACUUCAAAACAAGAGGAGUUGGGGAGCUCAAUGAACAGGGAGAGUUCAAAGUCUCACUUCCUAAAGAGAUUGUGAAAGAAGAAAACCAAUUAAAAGAGGAAUGUUAUGCCCAACUCCACAGUGCAUUAGCUGCCCCUUGUGCUGCCCAUGACGGCCUAAAAUCCACGAAAAUAGUCUUCAAGUCCAAGGCAAGUGAUGGGACGCAAACCUUUGGAGUGGCUGGUGGAAAUCUCAAAUUUUCCCCUGUGACUUGCACUUCUGCCUUCUUUUGGCCUCACAAGAAGCACCCACUUUUUUCCAAAUUGCCACCUUUGCCUAAGUUGCCACCUUUCCCUAAAUCUCACCCAAUUUUUGGACACCCAUUCCCAUUCCCUCCUAAGGUGUUACCUCCAUUCCCACCUAAGGUCUUCCCUCCAAAAAUUCCAAUCUUCAAGAAGCCUCUUCCUCCACCAGUGCCAAUCUACAAGAAGCCUCUCCCUCCACCAGUGCCGGUAUACAAGAAGCCGGUCCCUCCCCCCGUCCCGGUCUACAAGAAGCCUCACCCUCCGCCCGUCCCAAUCUACAAGAAACCUCUCCCUCCACCUGUCCCAGUCUAUAAGAAGCCUAACCCUCCACCAGUCCCAGUAUACAAGAAACCUUACCCUCCACCAACACCAAUCUACAAGAAACCUCUCCCUCCUCCCGUCCCAGUCUAUAAGAAGCCUAACCCUCCACCAGUCCCAGUAUACAAGAAACCUUGCCCUCCACCAAAACCAAUCUACAAGAAACCUCUCCCUCCACCUGUCCCAAUCUAUAAGAAGCCUCUUCCACCACCAGUUCCAGUAUACAAGAAGCCACUUCCACCACUAGUCCCCAUAUACAAGAAGCCAUUUCCACCACCAGUCCCAAUAUACACAAAGCCACUUCCACCACCAAUCCCAAUAUACAAGAAGCCACUUCCACCACUAGUCCCCAUAUACAAGAAGCCACUUCCACCACUAGUCCCCAUAUACAAGAAGCCAUUUCCACCACCAGUCCCAAUAUACACAAAGCCACUUCCACCACCAAUCCCAAUAUACACAAAGCCACUUCCACCUCCCAUCCCAUUCUACAAGCCAAAGCCACAUCCAUUCUUUAAGCCUCUCCCUCCAUUGCCAAAGAUUCCUCAUCCAUUCUUUAAGAAACCACCACUCCCACCACUCCACCCAAAAUAUUACUUCCCCCACCCAAAGCCCAAGCUUCCUCUCAUCCCCAAAAUCCCAUAAAUCCUUCCCCCACCCAAAGAUUGGCAAGUUCCCACCCCUGCCACCUUUGGUUCCUCAAUAUCCCUAGGCUAUUGAAGUACUAUAUAUUCUUUCCAGCUGUAAGUAGAAGCUAGCAUCAACGUUGUGUGGUGAAGUGAAAGCAUGAAGCAAUUUAAGAUCACAAUAAAUUAAGCCUUCAAAAGUUCAACUGUUCAAACCUUGAAGAGAAGCAAAUAUCAGAGAGAUAGCUGAUAGAGUGGAAGACUGUUUAUUUAUAAGUUAUUAUUUGACUUGUUUGGAUUGUGUUUCUUUACAUUGUAAUAUCACAAUUAUUUUUGAAAAAUUUCAGGUGGAUAUUACUUAUGUUACAGUGUUACUUUUCAUGUUUUUCGUGGUAAAUAUUUACUAUUCUGUUGUCAUUCCCCUUGAAUUUACAGUGGUGGAAAUUCAAGUUUCAUGUAUUUUAUGUGGGUGUUAUAUCGCAUACAAGUUAACCAUGACUCAUCAGAAAAGUAAAACCUUAUGAAUCCGAUUCUUUAGCUACUAAAUCUUUCGUUUCAUUAGACAUUAGUUGUAAGCAUUUAUCAUUUAUAACACAUCCAAUUUUUUGAUACACGCGAUAUUAGGAGGACGAGUGGUUUGAAAGUAUGGGCAAUGCUAUAUUGCUUGUGACAUACAGAUUCAAUGCGUUUUCUUCUCAGCACAAGAUCUAAUGUAAACAGAGUUAGUAUUAUCGGUUUCGAAGGGGCCUAUCUAGUUCACAUGUCGACGUCUCAACCAAAUAUAAAAGGGUAUGCAUGCAUGCAAUUGAUGCAUGGAUUGAUCCUUGGCUUAGGUCGUUUUCCCAGCAGAAGAUUUUUCAUGCUGCUUUCAAGUUUGUACAAGACACUUUGAAAAGUAUGUGGCCCAUAAAAUUAGUAGGUCUGUACUGGUUUGACACUAAAGUGUUUUGAAUAAAAGUUGCUUAUUUUAUAAUUUUUUAUGUUCAAGGUGUUUUGUAAAUUAAAGAAAAAAGAAUUAUUUUGAAAGCUGUGAUGAUUGACAGCAGAAAUCACCAGAAAAGCUGAAGCUGCUAAAUGCUGUUUUGAAAAACUAGGUUUUUUUCAAAACAUGCGGAGUUACGUUGCAUCUUUAAUGAAACUUUCUAAAGUCCAAUAACACCCUCGUCAUUUUUAUAAAAUGACAAUCGUUGUCCCUCUUCUUGCGUCGCCCACUCUCCCGAUCAUCCCUCUCCUCCCUUCUUUUUCCUAAGACUUCCUCCCUUUCCCAAAUCAGCUCAAUUUGAGCAGCACCACCAGCAACCCUUGUCAAUGGGGCUGAAACACCUCACCCCCUCCCAGAUGUUGAAUUGUGGCCAAGUGACCAUCACCUUUCCUAAUAAACAAACCAAAAGAAAAAAAAAAGGGGAAAUGACAACAUGAUUAUGUUUCCUUGUUUUGGGGAAAAGAAGUGAAAUUUGUCUAAAGUUUUUUCUUUGGUCCAUGUGAGAAGUCACGGGACUCUUUGGUUUUUAACUAGCAGCAAUAGCUGCCUUUUGGGGUGGGAGAAAGGUUGUCGCAUAGAAGAAAAAAAUUAGAAGGGAGCAGCAGAAAGAAGAAGAGAGGUACGCAGCUCCCAUAUAAGAAAGAAAGGUGAUUUUCUUUCUUGGUUAGUUUUCACUCCAUCAAAGUUUUAUUGUUGUAAUAGCUUUGAGCUUUGUAUAGAGAAGAAAUUAAUCACUAUAUUUCUUUCUCUAUUUGUUUCUUUAGUGUGUGAGAGUUAUUGGGUGUAUUGGGUUAUUUGGGUUGAGAGAUUGCCAACACUUUGUAAACUCCCAUUUGGUUGAUAGUGGAUUAUUGGGUGAGCUCCUACUGCUCCGAGGACGUACUCCAGUUACACUGACUGUUGAGGAACCUCGUUAAAAUCUUGGUGUCUUUAAUAUUUUGUUCUUGCAUUUUCAUUUGAUAAAUUUCCUGUGGGUUAGCUUGAGUUGGUUCCAACGGGUUUGGUGCUAUCCUAGCACAACAAUUGGUAUCAGAGCACUAGUUGCUCUUGGGUACUGUUUAGUUGCCAAAGAUGUCAGACGGGCAAGAUGAGAAUCCUUUUGGAAGCAGCUUCGGGUUUGCAAGAACUACGGUGCAAAAUGCAAAGUUCGAAGUGGAAAAGUUUGAUGGCACAAACAACUUUGGGAUGUGGCAAUGUGAGGUCAAAGAUGUGUUAGCUCAACAAGAUCUACUUGCCGCUUUGGGAGAGAAGCCGGAAGCUAUGUCGAAGCCGGAAUGGGAAAAAUUAAAUUUGUAGGCUUGCUCUUCAAUUCGGUUGUGCCUUGCAAAAACUCAGAAGUAUUUUGUGAUGCGGGAGACAUUAGCAAGUGUGUUGUGGCAAAAAUUGGAAGACAAGUAUAUGACAAAUAGUGCAGAGAACCGGCUACACUUGAAGAAAAAGCUCUACCGCUUCCAAUACAAAGAAGGUACAAAAAUGAUUAGACACCUUGAUGUUUUUAAUAAGUUGAUUGCCGACUUGUUAAAUUUAGAUGAGGAUAUUAAGGAUGAAGAUAAGACCUUAAUAUUGUUGAAUUCCUUGCCGGACUCUUAUGAGCAUUUUGUUACCACUAUUAUGCAUGGUAAAGAAACUGUGAAAUUUGAAGAUGUGUCAAAUGCCUUGAUGAAUUAUGAAAUGAGGCAUAGAGAUAAAAAUCAUGAUAGUACCUCUGAAGCUUUAUUUGUUAGAGGUAGAUCAUCGGAGAGAAGAUCAUCUUCUAGUAGGAAAAAAUCACAGUCUCGACUUAGAGGAAACUCUAAAGGUAGAAAACCUUUGGAAAGAGAUGAAUGUGCCUUUUGUCAUAAUAAGGGCCAUUGGAAGAAAGAUUGUCCUAGGUUGAAGACCAAAGGCAAAGAAAGUUCUGAAGCUAAUGUUGCUGAGGUUGAAACAGAUUUUUUUUUAUUUUGCUUUAACCACUUCCUCAUCAUUUGAUUGUGCUACUAAGUGGGUGUUGGAUACGGGUUGUACUCAUCAUAUGACUCCUCACAAGAAUUGGUUUUCAAGCUUGAAAGAGUUUGAUGGUGGAGUUGUGUUCAUGGGAGAUGACAAUCCUUGCACAACAAAAGGGAUUGGUACAGUUCGGUUGAAGUUGCAUGAUGUCAUGGUUAAAGAGUUGACAGGUGUUCGGUAUGUACCGAAUUUGAAGAAAAAUCUUAUUUCUUUGGGUACUUUGGAAUCCAAUGGCUUCAGUUUUCAUUCAGAUGGACAGACAUUAAAAGUUACUUAUGGUGCACUUGUUGUGAUGAAAGCUCCUCGAUGUGGCCAUUUGUAUUUAUUGCAGGGAAGCACUAUGACAGGUGAAGCAUCUGUAGUCUCUGAAAAUAUGGGCACAUCUGAUUCAGAUACUACUAGACUGUGGCAUAUGAGAUUAGGCCAUGCCGGUGAGAAAGCUCUACAAGGGCUUGUGAAAAACCGUCUUUUAAAAGGUGCCACGACUUGUAAGCUUGAUUUCUACGAGCAUUGUGUCUUGGGGAAGCAAACUAGAGUGAAGUUUGGUACUGCUGUACAUCAGACGAAGGGCAUUCUUGAUUAUGUGCAUUCGAAUGUUUGGGGUCCUACAAAGACUCCCUCUUUGAGUGGUAGACAUUGGUUUGUGACCUUUGUUGAUGAUUAUUCAAGAAGGUCUUGGGUUUACACUAUGAAGCACAAGAGUGAGGUAUUGAGCAUUUUCUUGAGUUGGAAGAAAAUGGUUGAGAACCAGACUGGGAGAAAGAUUAAGAUUUUGAGAUCGGAUAAUGGUGGUGAAUACACAUCCAACCCUUUCUUUAAAGUUUGCAAAGAGGAAGGAAUUGUGAGACAUUUCAGUGUUCGGGGAACUCCACAACAAAAUGGAGUUGCAGAAAGAUUGAAUCGAACCUUGCUUGAAAAGGUUAGAUGUAUGUUGUCUCAGUCAGGUUUAAGCAAGUCAUUUUGGGCAGAGGCAGUUAAUUAUGCAUGUCACAUCAUCAACCGGUUACCCUCAGCUGCUGUUCAGGGUAAGACACCAAUGGAGGUAUGGACUGGAAAACCUUAUUCUGAUUAUGACUAUAUCCGUAUUUUUGGUUCACCUGCUUAUUUUCAUGUGACUGAAAAUAAACUUGAUCCAAGAGCCAAAAAGGCUAUCUUUCUUGGUUUUAGUAGUGGUGUCAAAGGUUACAGGUUGUGGUGCCCAGAGAUGAAAAAACUUGUAAUCAGCAGAGAUGUGACAUUUGAUGAAGAAAGUAUGUACAAAGUCUCUGAGAAGAAUGUGAAAGAUGUCCAACAGGUGGAGCUUGAGAAAGUUGCCUCUGGUACUUCAAAUCCUAUUUCCGCUGAUGUCGAAGCCACUACAAGUGAAGAAGUUGGAGACCAUGAGGAUGUUGAAGAAGUUGAACUUGAAGAUUCUAUUCAAGUUGAAGAGGAAGUUUCACCUCAAGAGUCUAUUGCCAAGAACAGAGGAAAGAGACAAAUUACCAAGCCAGCUCGGUAUAGUAACUAUGUUUCUUUUGCUCUUCCUAUUAUCACUGAUGAGAUUCCAUCCAAUUUUGAGGAAGCUAUUGAGAGUGAAGAAAAUGAGAGGUGGUGCAAUGCCAUGGGUGAUGAGAUGAAUUCUCUCUUGAAGAACAAGACUUGGGAGUUAGCUAAAUUGCCUAAGGGCAAGAAAGCUAUCGGUUGCAAAUGGGUGUAUGCUAAAAAAGAAGAUGCUGAUGAGAAAAGCAAUGUGAGAUUCAAAGCAAGAUUAGUUGCUAAAGGGUAUGCACAAAAGGAGGGCAUUGACUACAAUGAAAUAUUUUCUCCAGUUGUGAAACACUCCUCAAUUCGUAUUAUGUUAGCUCUUGUUACACAGUAUGAUCUUGAGCUUGUGCAACUUGAUGUGAAAACGGCUUUCCUACAUGGUGAUUUGAAUGAAGAGAUUUAUAUGUGUCAACCGGAUGGGUAUAUAGUGAAAGGGAAGGAGAAUUUGUUUUGAAAAUUGAAGAAAUCACUUUAUGGCUUGAAGAAAUCUCCAAGGCAAUGGUAUUUAAGGUUUGAUAAAUUUAUGAGAGGCCAAAAUUAUUCUAGAAGUCAAUAUGAUCAUUGUGUGUACUUCAAGAAGUUGCAAGAUGGGUCUUUCAUUUAUUUAUUGAUAUAUGUUGAUGAUAUGUUGAUUGCCUCAAAGAAUGUUGAAGAGAUUGAGAAAUUGAAGAAACAAAUGAAGAACGAGUUCGAGAUGAAGGAUCUUGGUGAAGCGAAGAAGAUCCUUGGCAUGAAGAUCACUAGAGAUAGAGCAAAGGGUUUCGUCAGUUUGAAUCAAAGACAAUACCUUGAGAAGUUGAUUCGGAAGUUUGGAGUUCAUGAUUCAACCAAACCGGUUAGUACCUCUUUGGCUCCUCAUUUUAAAUUGAGUUCUCUACAGUGUCCUAAAACUGAUAAAGAGAAGCUGCAAAUGAAAAAUAUACCAUAUGCAAAUUUGGUUGGUAGUUUAAUGUAUGCAAUGGUAUGCUCUAGACCGGAUAUUGCUCAUGCAGUUGGCAUGGUGAGUCGAUAUAUGCAUAAUCCAGGUAAAGAGCAUUGGCAAGCAGCUAAGUGGAUAUUGAGGUAUCUCCAUGGUACUCGAGACGUUGGUUUAUGCUUUGAGAGAGAUGACUCUGGUAUUGGUCAUUUUGCAGUUGGUUAUGUUGAUUCAGAUUAUGCAGGUGAUCUAGAUGGAAGGAAGUCUACUACAGGCUAUGUGUUUACUAUGGCUAAAGGACCAGUUUGUUGGAGGUCCAUUUUGCAGUCGUCUGUUGCCUUGUCUACUACAGAAGCUGAAUAUAUGGCAGUUGCUGAAGCUAUAAAGGAGGCCAUUUGGAUAUAUGGGCUGAUUAGAGAUUUGGGGGUUGAUCAGAAACAGGUGGAGGUACAUUGUGAUAGUCAGAGUGCCAUUUAUUUGGCUAAGUAUCAGGUUCAUCAUGCGAGGACCAAGCACAUAGAUGUGCGUUAUCACUUUGUUCGUGAAAUUGUUGGUGAAUGAGAAAUCAUUCUCCAGAAGAUUCCAACUAAAGACAACCCCGCUGAUAUGUUGACUAAGGUUGUUGGUGUUGCCAAGUUUGUUCAUUGUUUGAACUUGGCUCACAUUUUGCCUAUAUAAAGAAGGCGUUGAGCAGUAGGAGUUUUGGAGCAUUUGGCUCGGCAUGAGUUGUUCUCUUGCUAGUGUUUGGGAGUGAUGUUGUGUGUUAAUUGUGUUGGUUGACUUAUUAUGGCGUUUUUCGGAACUUGGCCAAGGUGGAGAUUGUUGAAUUGUGGCCAAGUGGCCAUCACCUUUCCUAAUAAACAAACCAAAAGAAAAAAAAAAGGGGGGGGAAAGGACAACAUGAUUAUGUUUCCUUGUUUUGGGGAAAAGAAAAGUGAAAUUUGUCUAAAGUUUUUUCUUUGGUCCAUGUGAGAAGUCACGAGACUCUUUGGUUUUUAACUAGCAGCAAUAGCUGCCUUUUGGGGUGGGAGAAAGGUUGUCGCAUAGAAGAAAAAAAUUAGAAGGGAGCAGCAGAAAGAAGAAGAGAGGUACGCAGCUCCCAUAUAAGAAAGAAAAGUGAUUUUCUUUCUUGGUUAGUUCUCACUCCAUCAAAGUUUUAUUGUUGUAAUAGCUUUGAGCUUUGUAUAGAGAAGAAAUUAAUCACUAUAUUUCUUUCUCUAUUUGUUUCUUUAGUGUGUGAGAGUUAUUGGGUGUAUUGGGUUAUUUGGGUUGAGAGAUUGCCAACACUUUGUAAACUCCCAUUUGGUUGAUAGUGGAUUAUUGGGUGAGCUCCUACUGCUCCGAGGACGUACUCCAGUUACACUGACUGUUGAAGAACCUCGUUAAAAUCUUGGUGUCUUUAAUAUUUUGUUCUUGCAUUUUCAUUUGAUAAAUUUCCUGUGGGUUAGCUUGAGUUGGUUCCAACGGGUUUGGUGUUAUCCUAGCACAACACCAGAUCCACCAGAUCCAGUCCCAACCCCAACUCCAAAUCUUUUGGGAUAAUUACCACCAACAAGUUUCUCAGCUGUCGUCUGGGAUUUGUCGAUCUGAGCGGGAGGUUCAAGCAUGUGCAGGUUCAUUACUGCAGGUGCAGGUGAGGGAGAGGAGAAAGGGUGGAGAAAAUGAGGGAGAAAGAGAGGAGAGAGGAAGGUUAAUUUCUGCAAACCCAUAAGAGAGAGGAUGGUGAGAAUGGAGAGGAGAGAGAAAGGUUAGUUUCUGCAAAAUUCAAAGGAUAGGUGACUGAGAAAAUGAGGAGGGGAGAGACGGGUGUGUCCAUAGAAUAUUUUUUUUGUUAUCUUAAAAUAAAUCAUAAAGUCAUAUUUAACAUCAGGGCCGGCCCUGAGUAUUUAAGGGUCUUUGCAAGACAUAGAUGGAGGCCCCGAGUAUUUUUUUUAAUGUUAUUUUCUUUUCUUUUUUGAUUUUUUUUAAUCUAUAAAACUAAUAUAUUACAAGUUACUACAAUGAAAAUAAGUUGUUUGAUUGGCCAUUUUUUUUAUCCUUACCUUUAAAGGUCCUGAGUUCAAUACAUGUUGGAUACAUUUUUGUUAUCUCAUUUUUAAGUUUGCAAAUUUGCAAAAGCUUAAAAAAAUAGCAAAGCAAUGUCAUUGGGAUUCGAACCCAGCACAUGGGCUACAAGGUAUAAAAACUAAACCAAUAGCGCUAGAACAACAUACAUGAAUUUCCUUUGCCUCUAAUUUAUUUUAUAUGCAUUUGUAUACAUGUAAUGAAAAUUUGGGGCCCUUCCGAAUCGAGGACCCUGUGUGGUGGCACCUUUUGCACACCCUCAGGCCCGACUCUGUUUAACAUCAUACUCUUUUUAGUCAUUUAACACAAUCCAAGCAAUUUUACCAAAAGUUUGUCAAAUACUUAAACACUGUUUUUUUUUUUUGUUAAAAAUACUUUUGGAAUAAAAGUUUACCAAAUACUCAACUGCUUUAUUUUACAGUUGUUUAUUUUCAUAGCAUAACAUAAGCAUUUUUUUUUUAACACAGCAACACCAAUGAUAAUUUAUGAGCCAGUAUGGGCGCCUUUGAAGUUAUGAAAGAAAACUUAUUCAUCGCAACCAUUACCAUAUUAAUACAUAAUUAUUAGGGCUGGGUUCAGUUGGUAAACCGUGCUAAAUUUCAUGUGCCACCUGCUAGCCACAUAUACAUAAUUACCAAAAAUAAGUUACCGCUAGCCAACCGUCUUCUUGCGAUUUCCAAAAAUUUGUUUAGCCAAAAUUAUUGGUUGGUUCAGUUGAUAAAUGGCACAACCGAUGGUUUACAAAUAAGCUACAAAAACAACAGCUCAAGACCAUACACCGACCCAUAAACAACAAACCAAAAAAGAGAAACCAAAAUUAUUGGCUGGUUCGGUUGGUAAAUGUCACAACCGAUGGUUUGCAAAUAAGCUACAAAAACAACAGUACAAGACCAUGCACCGACCCGUAAAUAACAAAUCAGAAAGAGAAAAAUAAGUUGUUGUUGCAAUUUUGCAAUUGAUGAUAAGACAACAUAAUCAUGACUUAACAAAUUAAAAUGGAAAUCAAAUCAAAACUUAAUAAGCCAACAACAAUGUCAGCAAACAUAAUCAUUGAACUGAAGUACUAUAAUUAGAAAUAGAAAAAAAUAUAGCAAUACUUACAUUUUUCUAGUUCUUCACAUGUCAAUCAUGUAAAAAUACCUAAGAUAUCUAAAUAGAAAAAGAAAAAAUAUAUAUAGAUAUAUAUAUAUAUAUAUAUAUAUAUAUAUAUAACAUAUAUCGGAUAUUUCCGGCUUCAUAUGUUACCCUACUUCCGCACCCAUUUGGUAUCAGAGCCAAGUGUGGUUGGUUAUACCAUUAGUGUCUGAAUACUCUGUUUAUACUUUUAGAUUUAUUCAGUCUCUUUAUAGUUAAUCUUUUCAGUUUAACCUUUUAGUGUCUCCUGAUCUCCAUAAGGUCUGAGCAGUAAGGCGUCACCCAAACAGUAAGUCCCGGAGGAUAGGGCCUGAGCGGCGCGCAUGACCCAGAGAGCUUGGUGUUUAGAAGCACUAGUAAGAUUUUCUGUUAAGGUUUCUGUAUUUUGAUUGUUUGAAUUUUUAAGUAUGAGUAGAUUGUUUAGAUCUAAUUCUAUGGCCAGCACUAGCUCUAGAUCAAAUUUAGGAACAAUACCUGAUAUUGUCAAUGAAGAACAAAAAUUUGAAUUUCAAACAGACAGUAGUCUAGAUUUUGAUGAAUGGAAUAUUCCAAAAAUAUCUUCAAAAAAUAUUUAUAAAAAGAAAUGGGCAUUCGCCUCUUUUAAAACAGAACACCAUGUCAAAACGGUUGAACAAGCUUAUGCUCUUAGUAAAGAUCAUGAGACUUGCCAAUUGUUUACCCCAGAACAAAUUAAUUCUCAUAGGAAAGAUGGUCAUAAUUAUAUUCAUAUAGGUUUAGUGCAAAUUACAGCCAAACCAUUAACACGUAGAGGUCUUAAUACCUCUAUCCUCUUAUGUCUCCGAGAUGCUAGAUUCAUUGACUUCAGUGAUAGUAUACUUGGUAUGGUUGAAUCCAGCCUCUGUAAUGGACCUAUCCACUUUGACUGCUUUCCAGAUCUUACCAUAAGUCUGUCUGACCCACAUAUGUUAAAAGCACUUACACUAAAUAUCAAAACUUCAGGAUAUAAAGUCCUAGAAGGAACACAGCCUUUGGCCUUAAUUUAUAGAAUCUAUUAUAAGGUCACUGGCACAAAUAUGAACUUUCAGGCUUUAACCAAAAGUCCGAAGGAUCAUACUCUCUUGAUCCAGACUGAUCAAGAGAAUGCCAAUAUUAAAAUACCUCGAACCAUUAGGUGGUCAGAAAUCAAUCUCCCUUCAGAUUGGUGUCUAAUAAACGAGAGUCGGCCAGUAGCCAUCCAAAAUAGUCUAGUCAAUUUAGACAAUGUAGAACAAUACUUUGAUGGUACGGUUAAAAUCAAUUUUGAUCGUCCUGCUAGAAAAUCCUGUGAUUCUAAUCGAUCACUUAAAUCCUUUACUUCCAAUAGGAAUUCUUUCUCUGGAUCUAUGCCAACCGAUAGGCAAGGUCGAGACCAAGAAUUAAUCAAUUCCCUAGCUAAUAGGAAAUUAAAAUCAGUAGAUAUAGGCUCAUCUGUCACCCAACAAGAAUUAAUAAAUGACCUUUUAAAUUUCAAACUCCAAUCACUUGAGACAAACGCUCAAGUAGUCCAGCCUACCUAUCAUACCCCAUCCAUUCCUCCUAAGGAAGAACAAACAUCCCCAACUGCUUCUGAUUUUGAUGCGGAACCAGUACACCACCAACUAUUGGUUUUAACCAGACAAGAACCUUUUAAGUAUGAUCGUAAGAAACUCUGUAGAGACAUCGAAGCCUUAGAAAAUGUCCCUCGACGAAACAUCUUCAGAAGUAAAUAUACUACUGAAGAGAAAUUAGAAAUCCAUAAGGCAUGGAAAGACUUCAUGCAAACCAACAGACUUGAAAUAUUUUUCUUCGACUUCGUAGAAAAACAUUAUGAGUCUGAAAACCAAGUAAAGGUAAUCACCAAAGAAAAUUGGGUUAAAGAAGACAAGACAGUUGUCUCCUCCAGUCACCCUCCACAAGAAACUAUACUUAUUAGUACUGCGAAUACGCAGGUCCCAGCCUCACCGUUCAAACUUCCGAAGGAAGAAGCAGGUGUCAAACCUGUUAUUGAACAAAACAAUUUUACCAACCAAAGCCUACAUAUCAUAGGAAAACAGUUGGAUAAAAUCGAAACCAAGGUUGACAAUUUGUCAAAUAAACCACUUAGUAAAGAAAUACCUUUAACUAGUUUCAGAGAGUCACCCUCUUUAAAAACUUCAACAUCUAUUAAGAUAGAACAAAUGCUUCAUAAGCUAGAAAAGGACAAAUCAGUUCGUGUGAUUAAUAACCCACAUGAUUUUGAAACACCUUCCUCAAUUCCAGAUUCAGAAGAUGAAAGUAUUGAUUCCAUCAUUCAAAUGGAGCAAGCCUUUCAGAGUCUUGAAUUAAAACGUCUUAACACUAAAAGGACUAAUCCUACAUCCUUAACCAAAAACUGGUAUCCCAGACCAACACCUCCUGAUCUUCAAUUUGAAGAAAGGAAUUUCCAAUCCCAAUUCACUGUUUCAUCUGAUAAACUCUAUGAAUGGAAUAUAGAUGGUUUAUCAGAACAAGAGUUACUAAACAAACUCCAGCACAUCUCCAUGGUAGCAAAUAGCUAUAUCACUAACCAUGACCUUAGUCAAACCCAAAUUGUCGACAUCCUUGUCUCUGGAUUCACAGGAAUGCUUCAUUCCUGGUGGGAGAAACAUCUCACUGAAGACUCCAGAAAUCUAAUAAGAAAUGCUGUAAAACAAGAUGAAGAAGGAAUACCUAUCUUCGAUGAACAUCUAGGACGUGGUGUCCCAGAUGCGGUCAAUACCUUACUUUAUACAAUCAUACAACAUUUCAUAGGAAUCCCUUCCAACAUCACAUCUAGAAUCCAUGACCAACUAAGCAACUUAAGGUGUCCAACCCUAAGUGAUUUUAGAUGGUAUAAAGAUGUAUUUAUGUCAAGAGUUAUGCUUAGAGAUGAUAGUAAUCAACCAUUUUGGAAAGAAAAAUUUAUAAAUGGAUUACCAAACCUUUUUGCACACAAAAUAAGGAAUACCUUAAUUAACGAAGAUGGAAUUAUACCAUAUAAUGACCUUACUUAUGGACAUAUCAUAAGUACUAUCCAAAAAGAAGGCUUAAAAAUGUGCAUAGAUAUGAAGAUAUCUAGACAAGCACAAUCUGAAAAGGCUAUCGCCAAAUACGAAUUAGGGACCUUCUGUGAGCAAUAUGGUUUACCACCUAUAGCUCCCUCUAAUCUUAAAAAGAGAUCGACUACCUUCAAUAGAUCUAAGAUCUCCAAACCACGGACCAACUACUCCAAGUAUCAUCAAGACAAGUAUGCCAAACCAAACCCAUUUUAUGAAAACCCCAAACAGAAAAGAUGGAAAGGAAAGAGAAAAUCCUCUGGAAAAUUCCAUUCUAAAGACAAUAGUCAUAAGGGAAAAUGCUACAAAUGUGGCAAAGAAGGCCAUUAUGCCAAUAAAUGUAAAGUUAAGAAAACUAUAAGUCAGUUGAAGAUUUCUGAGGAAGAAAAGCUUCAACUUAUCCGAACCCUAGAACUCCAAAAUACCGACAGUAGUCAUUUAUCUGAAGAUGAUCUAGGUUCCACCUCUUCAUCCUCUUACCAAUCUGCCUCUAGUAAGCACUCUACCCCAAACAUCAAGCUCGGAUGUCUUGAUGCUUGUUGUAAAAAUAUAUCAGUACUAACUAAACAAGAAAAACAAGAAGAAUUACUCUUAGAACUAAUAAGCAAUGUUGAGGACACUGAACUCAAAAGGUUCUACCUCAAAAAGCUUAAGAACUUAGUUUCUCAAGAAGAAGUAGGCACUAGCCAAUCUCAAAUUCAAAAACCACAAAUCUCUCUUAGUUCUACUCUAGCAAAGUUUAGUAAGCCUAAGAAAGAAAUUACGGUCAGUGACCUCCAAAAAGAAAUCAAUCAGAUAAAAGAAGAAAUUAAACUUCUAAAAACUGAUAAUUACGAAAUUCGUACGCAACUCACUAGAGCCAAUACUCCUCCAAAAGAAGAACUAUUCAGUUCCUCUUCUUCCAGUAGUCACCAUGAGUCAGAAUCUGAUACACAUUCAGAAAACUUAGUUCUGAAUCUUCUCCACAAAAUUAGAAUCCAAAAAUGGUAUUCUAAAGUAACAAUAGUAAUUGAAGACUUUCGCUUCGAAACCAUUGCUUUAAUUGAUUCAGGAGCAGACUUGAAUUGUAUUCAAGAAGGACUGAUCCCCACUCGGUAUUUCCACAAAUCCAAGGAAAUCCUUAGUGCUGCUAAUGAAUCUCCAAUGGAAAUCAAAUAUGAACUUCCUAAGGCGCAUGUUUGCCAAAAUGAAGUUUGUUUCAAAACACCUUUUGUGCUAAUUAAGAACUUAUCUGACCCUGUCAUACUAGGACUACCCUUUAUAGCACUCCUCUAUCCUUUUAAGACGCAUCAUAAUAGGAUUACCUCAAAAGUCUUAGGACAGAAAGUCACUUUUGAGUUCUGCCUAGAAACAGACCUCAAAAAACUUAGGCAUCUCCAGAAGGAUAGCACUUCGCGAUCCUUAAACAUAAUCUCUAAUAAGACUAAACACCUCCAAUUUUUAAAAGAUGAUAUUCAUCAUAAGAGAACUGAAGAACAACUUAAACAAGAGAUUGUAUCCCAAAAAAUCUUUAAAUUUGAAGAACAGCUUGUUAAGGAAGUAUGUUCUGAUAUUCCCAAUGCCUUUUGGCAUCGCAAACAACAUAUCGUUAAAUUACCUUAUAUCAAGGAAUUUAAUGAGUCAAAAAUCCCUACUAAGGCCAGACCCAUUCAAAUGAGUCAAGAAGUAAUGGAUUUCUGUAAGGCAGAAAUACAAGAUCUUCUUAAUAAAGGAAUUAUCCGUAAUAGCAAGUCACCUUGGUCGUGUCCUGCAUUUUAUGUUCAGAAAAGUGCAGAACUUGAAAGGGGAUCUCCCCGAUUAGUUAUUAACUACAAACCUUUGAAUGAAGUUUUGGAAUGGAUUCGAUAUCCUAUUCCCAACAAAAGAGAUUUAAUAAAAAGGCUUAGUAAAGCAACUAUUUUCUCAAAGUUUGAUAUGAAAUCAGGUUUUUGGCAGAUUCAAAUCCAUGAGUCUGAUAAAUAUAAAACUGCUUUUGUAACGCCUUUCGGCCAUUAUGAAUGGAAUGUUAUGCCUUUUGGUUUAAAAAAUGCACCAUCUGAAUUCCAGAAUAUUAUGAAUGAGAUUUUUAAUCAGUAUAGUCAUUUUACAAUUGUUUAUAUUGAUGAUGUUCUUGUUUUCUCUAAAUCUAUAGAUGAACAUUGGAAACAUUUACACUUGUUUGCUAGGAUCAUUAGAUCAAAUGGAUUGGUUGUGUCAGCCACUAAAAUUAGGUUGUUUCAACUAAAGAUUAGAUUUUUAGGUUAUAAUAUUCAUAGGUCUACCAUCCAACCUAUUGACCGUGUCAUCCAGUUUGCAGAUAAAUUUCCAGACCAGAUUACUGAAAAAACCCAACUUCAAAGAUUCUUAGGAUCAUUGAAUUAUGUUUCAGAAUUUUAUCCUCAUUUGCGUCAACAAUGUAAACCCUUGUUUGAUCGCCUUAAGGAGAAUCCUCCUGCCUGGUCUACCAUUCAUACUUCUAUUGUCAAACAGAUCAAAAAUCAUGUUAAGACUUUGCCCUGUCUUGGCAUUCCAACUCCCAACUCUUUUAAGAUUGUUGAAACUGACGCCUCUGACGUUGGUUAUGGAGGUAUCCUCAAACAGCAAACUUCCUCCGGAUCACCUGAACAAAUUGUUCGCUUCCAUUCAGGUGUAUGGAAUCCUGCUCAAACUAAUUAUAGUACUAUUAAAAAAGAAAUACUAUCUAUAGUUUUAUGCAUUAGUAAAUUUCAAGAUGAUUUAUUAAAUCAAAAAUUUCUCGUUAGAGUUGAUUGCAAAUCUGCAAAACAUGUUUUACAAAAAGAUGUUCAAAAUAUUGCAUCAAAACAGAUUUUUGCACGAUGGCAAGCCAUAUUAUCAAUCUUUGAUUUUGAAAUCGAAUACAUUAAAGGCAGCCAUAACUGCAUUCCAGAUUUCCUAACCAGAGAAUUUUUGCAGGGGAAGAAUGUCUAAUAAAAACACAGCUUCUCCACAAGGCAGUAGCCAACAAAGGAGGCUUCCCGCCUCAUUACCACCACCAAAACAGGAACCUAUUCCCGGUUCCUCGGCCUUAGCCAUUACCAAUAGAUUUACUCCAUUAGGAUCAACUCUAGGAAAUAUCCGACCAAAUUACCAAACAGCGUUAGUAAACCAGUAUGAUCCUUUCUCCUCUACCUACAGGCAAUCGCCAUCCCCCUCUGUAAGUUAUACCAAAACAUCUCCUUAUAUUAUUAAACCAUCCAAAGAAUACUUAUUCAGCAUUCCCUUCAACUUCAAACAUCUGAAAACACCUGAGGUAAUAGCCAAAAAGAUGUUUCCAACCAAUUCCCAUUUUCAGCCAAGUGAAUUCCACAAAACCCUCAAAUACUAUACCACUAUCCUCAAUGAGACUUCAUCUAUCACCAUAAAACCUAUCUUUGAUAAAUCCUCUGGCAACCAAAACAGAAUCCUGUAUCAUUCCCUUACCAUCAAUAAAUUCUUGUUAGAAUCAGAAUGGCAAGUACCUCUUUUCCAGCCCAAGCCUUUUAAAAGCAGUAGCUUUCCCAGUCACUCAAACCAUUAUACCUAUUUUGAUUACAUUCAAGCUUGGACUAACAUCUUCUUGCACCAAUCCGAAGAUUUUAGUCAUUCAUGGUUCAUAACCUUUGACCGAAGUUUCAGAUUGAAUUUUCCUGCAUGGUUUCCCAGAUGGUGGUCAGAACAUGGCCUUAUCUCUGAUCUCAUGCCUGACGAAUUCAAGCAAGUCUUAUCAGGCACUUUCCAGAAGAAGUUCGAUAGAACGCGUUUUGAUGAAGGAAUCCCUUUGUUCGCCCUGUUCAUGGCAAAAUACAAGAUCCCCUGGAUUCUCCGCUGGAAUUACGAGAUUGAAUCCAAUCAAGUCUUCCGACAGAGAAUGAUCAAAUGGUGGGAUAAGUUCAACUACCAGAAAAUUAUUGAAGUCGUGCUCAAGGACUUCCCCAUGGGUUCUAAUCCAGUACCUGCAGUAGCAGCUCCUCCAGCAUCAGCCUUACCUGAACCAACCAAGGAAGAAAUCGAUUCAUUAUCGGAUAUUAGUCCUUCUUCCUCUCUCAAGGGAAAACCCAAGUCAUCCAAAUCUUCGAGCAGUUCGAAGAAAAAGAAAUCAUCAAAGCUCAAGGCUCUAGCCAAAAUUCUCAUGAAGGAACUACAAGAAGAUAAUGAAGAUAGUUCGGACUCCGACAACUCUUCGGAUGCUUCAUCACAAUGCGCAGUAGCCACACAAGGGAAUAUCUUCCCGCCUGAUUCUCAAGACCCAUACGAAUUUUAAACUUGUAAAGGAAUUCCUAAAUUCGUAUGAAUAAUGUCUCAGUAGGAUACAUCGUAUUUAAGACUCAGUAGAGUAUUUUGUUUUUCUGGGCAAAAGUUGCAUACGACAGGACCAGCCGCAUGUGAAAACAGCAGUAGCAGACAAGACACUAUUCAUGAAUAGUAAAAUCACUUUUACUAUUCAUCCACAGUAUUCACCCUCGUGAAAGCCACAGUCCCCGACAGCAUCUUUUGCUUUCGGCCUCUUUACAGCAGUAGCACAUGCAGAGCGGGAUUCCCGCUUCCAUCCUUCAAUCAUUCCUGAUCACCUCCUUCGCCUACAAAAGGAAAUCUCCAGCUUCUUUGAAGGGGGGCUUCUUCUCCGAAAGAAAACUCUGCUUAUUCACAUCGAACAGAGUCUACAGCUUCUCAGCAAAAAUAUUGUAAUAUAAAUAUAUUUUACAUUUCAAGUAAUCAAGGAUGCCUGCGAGCUCCAAGAUCAGUCUUUAAUUUUCUAAAUCGUCAAUAGACGAAACUUCUGUAAGUCUUGUUUGAUUUUCAAUAAAUAUAUUUUCAAUCGACUAUCAGCAUCAUUAAUUUAUAUCAUCAUGAAUACUAAAUCUAUUUUAAAUUUAGUUUUGUUUAUAUAUGCUCUUGUUAUUAAUCCUAAAAAUUUUAUAUUGAUAUUAAUCAAAUUCUUUGAAUUUCCAAAUACAUAUAUCGGAUAUUUCCGGCUUCAUAUGUUACCCUACUUCCGCACCCAUUUGGUAUAUAUAUAUAUAUAUAUAUAUAUAUAUAUAUAUAUAUAUAUAUAUAUAUAUAUAUAUAUAUAUAUAUAUAUAUAUAUAUAUAUAUUGGUAGGUAUGCAUACCGCCGUUAUACAAAAUCUAAUAUUAAAGCCAUACCAUUAAUUGUCGGUUCAGUAUAAUGCCAAUCGAUUAUGAAAAAAUGCCAAAACUAUACCAUACCAUUACGAACUGAUCGGUAUGGUUCGGUCGGUAAAUCGGUUUAUGGUAAAAUUUCUCAGCCCUAAUAAUUAUACAUAUAUGAUGCUAAGGAAGAAGAGAUUCGAAGACAUGACUUUAAAUUAUAGGGUGAACUGCCAAUUUAGUUUUUGAAUUAUUGCAUGAGUGAAAAUUAGGUCCCUAAACUAUUUUUUUUCAGAAAAAUCAAUCAUUGUUAUAAAAAUUUGCCAAUUACAGGGUGAACUGCCAAUAAUUAUACAUAUAUGAUGCUAAGGAAGAAGAGGUUCGAAGACAUGACUUUAAAUUACAUGGUGAACUGUCAAUUUAGUCUCUGAAUUAUCGCAUGAGUGAAAAUUAGGUCUCUAAACUAUUUUUUUUCCUCAGAAAAAUCAAUCAUUGAAUUAUAAAAAUCUGCCAUUACAUCCCUAAUAUUAUAUUCAAAGUUACUAUAUUCAAUUUUCCAUCAAUUUAAAUCACCAUACUUGCAUGUGAUACACAUUGGAGGGUAAAUUGGUCAUUUUUCAUAAAGAAAUAAUGUAUGAAGUUAACUUUGGAGGGUAAAUUAGACGUUAGAUUAGCAACCUAUAUGAAAUGUUAAGGGCUUAUAGGCGAUAAAAUGACAGUAUUACAUUCUAUAGUGUGUCAAGUGACUUAAGUUGACAAAAAAUUAGAUAAAAUAGCUUUGAAUAUAAUAGAAGGGAUGAAAUUAGCAAUUCUUAAUGAAUUUAGGGACUUAUUUUACCGAAAAAAAAUAAUUUAAGGACUUAAUUUUCACUAAGGUGAUAAUUCAAGGACUAAAUCGACACUUUACCCUAAAUUAUAUACGCUAAAACUCAUUUUUGCCUAAAACACUAUUUAUUGAAUUUGAGUUUUGUGUUAUCGUUAUAAAUAAAUAAACAUGUCGGAUGUUAUUAUUGAAAUUCUAAUAUUCAUAUUCAUUGUGACAUCCCGUCCCAAAAUUUAUUGUUUUUUAUUCUUAGUCGUAGUGAAACUAUCAUAAUGCCACUGAGAUGCCACGUAGGCCUUCCACGUGGACCUCAAUUUUCCUUUCACUUUUCCAGUCUUAUUUUACUAUUUUUGAAUAGUACUCAUUUUUACGAACACGGGACUGUAGACGGAACUCAAUUCGAAGUUAUAACAAACAAGUUAUGUUUGAAACUAAGUAAAAAUACCCUGAGGCAAUUUCAAAUUUGAAAUUCUUGUAUAGCGUGCCACUGCUUUGGUCUGAUUUUCUGAUUAGCGUUGUGGGUUGUGUGCGUUGGUAACUAAGAAAGUUGGUUUAAGUGUGCAGCAAGUGGACAAUUUAAUAUUGUUUUAUGGGUAAACUACCAAUUAGUUCCUAGAUUAUCACCUUAGUGAAAAUUAGGUUCCUAAACUAUUUUUCAGAAAAAUUAGUCCUUGAAUUAUAAAAAUCUACCAAUUACAUCCCUAAUGUUAUAUUCGAAGCUACUAUAUUCAAUUUUCCGUCAAUUUAAGUCACGUUACUUGCAUGUGAUACACAUUGAAGGGUAGAUUGGUAGUUUUUCAUAAAUAAAUAGUGUAUGGAGUUAACUUUGGAGGAUAAAUUGGUAGUUUUUCAUAAAUAAGUAGUGUAAGUUAACUUUUGAGGGUAAAUUGGACAUAAAUUAGCAACCUAUAUGAAAUGUUAAGGGCUUAUAGACAAGAAAAUGAUGGUAUUACACUCUAAUGUGUGUUAAGUGACUUAAGUUGACAAAAAAUUGGAUAAAAUAGCUUUGAAUAUAAUAGUAGAGAUGAAAUUAGCAAUUUCUAAUGAAUUUAGGGAGUUAUUUUACCGAAAAAAUAAUUCAGGGACCUAAUUUUCACCGAGAUGAUAGUUCAGGGACUAAAUCGACACUUCACCCAUGUUUUAUUAGGUUUUGAAAACUCACACUUUUGUGCCAUCAUCCAUUAGACAUAAUUUCUUUUCCAUUUUUUAAAAAUAGAUUUUCUUUCUCUCCCACUAUUGCACGUUUCUCUCUCUCUCUCUCUCUCUUUCUCUCUCUCUCUCUCUCUCUCUCACCCACACACACGCGCGCGCGCGCCAUAUCCUAUCAAUUUUCCCUCACAUCUCUCUUUUCCUCACACAUCCCACUUUUCCCCCUUUUUCCCCCAUAUCAGCCGACUCUCUCUCUCUUUUCAUCUUUUUCACUCAUUCACAUCUUUCUUUCUCUCUACCCACUCAACUCUUCAUCACCUUUCAAAUUCUCUCUCGUAGCUCUCCUCACUCUCUCCUUCUCGGUGCAAGCCAAACAACCACCACACCAUCUCCAAACGCCGCCAAAAAAUUCCCCAAAAUUCACUCAAAAUUUUCUAAAAGUCUCUACAACUUACUCUUAAUCCUUGAUCGUGAGAAAGCCCAAAGGAAAACGAAGAUCCGGUUGCGUAGCUUGAUGAACGUUGGCAAAACUUUCACUUCUUGGACCACGGUAGGCCUAGAUUUCUCACUCUCAAACUCUCCCUUGAAAUUUUGGUAAAUAUUCUUACCAUGCAUACAGGUUUCUAUGUGUUUAAAGGAUAUCUAACCCACCAUGUUGUCCGGCAAGUUGUAGGAUUUUUCAUGCCAAACCUGGCCAAACCUUGUUGAUUUGAUCAAGUUUGAAGGUGUAGGACAACUUCCCACAAUCUCUAGGCCACGAAUUUGAGCUUGUAUGCUCGAAUCCCCUCUGCUUAGAAGGUUCCAUGUCGGGCAGUAGCUGUUAGGCUGUUUUUCGAGCAACUCUAGCCAACUUUUGGCUUUAAAUGGGUAUAAUCUUAUUCCUCUCAUUCUAAGCUUCGUUUUGACAUAUUAUGCAUUAAAUUUGGUUGUGUAAUGGCUCUGAACGAGUCGUUUGAAUUUCUUCCCAAAUUUCCAACGAAAAUGUCAUUCUUAUCCAAACUAAGGGAAAUUAAGUUUAUUGCAUUAAUUAUUAUUACUUUAGUGAAUAGUGUAGUAAUUUUUCAUUUAGGAGAGGACCAUCCGAAGGUGUACUGCGAGCAGAAUAGUUGGAAGGAUACGACAUGGAUGUACCUGUGAGAAGGUCUUUUAGUUUUUACUUAUAUAUAUGUAUAUGUGAUUUUUCUCAACAACUGCUUUUAUAUACUAUGAUGUGACAUGCCGUGUUUAUCUUUACAAAUAGACUUUUCGUACACUUUAUGUUUUAAUAUUAUUUGUGAGCAUAAACUUGUGGCAUAACAUUCUUGGAUUUUAUCUGCUCAUUAUUACAUGUUUGCACGGUGUCUCUUAGUUAUUUGUACUGUCAUGGGCCAAGGCCCAGCUUCACAUGUAGUUCGCAUACACCGUUUACAUUCGCUUUGGAUCCAGAGUUAGGUGCUAGCCUGUCCUUUUGUGUGAUGUUUUGGACUCGUAUGUGAUGCAACUAGUGUAACUCACGUGAUAUAGUACUAGAAUGUAAAACCUACACUCAGCCUGUUCCAUUGUCUAAAUAUCUCUGUAAUGGACUUGUGUGCCUACAUAAAUUAAUGAGCAUUGAUUUCUUGUAAUAACGAUUUGAGAUUUAACGGGCUAAUUAUAUUAACACCCCACAAAUUGUUGAAGAAACCUCACAAACUUAAUACACCCUACAUUUGCUUUUUCACUUAAAAAUUAUCUUAAUACACCCCACUUACUUUCCCAUAAUACCCCCACGACCCACAUUCUCAAUAUACAUCUUAUAUUUUGUACAUACACCCCACAUUUUCUUUACACCCUACAUUUCUCAAAUCUUAAAACACUCAUUUUUAAUUUUCAGGGAUUGAAUCUAACCAUAUGAACACUAAAAGAUGAAUAUGAAUAUAGAAAUUUAAAUAAUGCAGCAAACGCAAGAUUAAAUAAUUAUCGAUGUCAUCGAAAUCACUAAAACAAUGAAAACUAUGAAGUCUUAUCUCAUGUGAAGCUUCUGAAACAUCGAUUUCGUAUUCCAUUCGUCAAAAACAAUUUUUCUUAAUCAACAUGUUUCAUAGUUGAGAAGAUAAAUAAUACGCUAAAAGUGAUUUGGGGUGUAUUUAUAAAUCUUUAUUUUUUUAAACCUAAUAAGGUCAAAAUUGUCAUUGCAUAGUGGAGUAAAUAAGUCAUUUAAUAUUAAAUUUUGAUGUGGGAUGCAUUCAACAUUUUGUGGGAUGUUAAUAUAAAAACCCAUUUAAUGUUGAGAUACCUUCUUGUAUCUUACAUCUUUUGACUCACUUUUGUUGCAGAGUACCGUAUUACAUACUAGUAUUAUAAUAUUUUCAGGAAACUUUAUACUUGUUUUACAGCGAGGGGUUACACAUUUUCGAAAAUGGUUUAUAAAACUUUAUUUUUAGGUCCACUCAUCGUUGUUUUUCGCCCCUCUAGGAUUUUAGUGGCAAAGGUUUCGUGACAACAAGGAUUGCUGGUAAAAGUUGUCAUGUAAGAGACUUCUCCUUUCGGUAUAAAUUUCCUUACUCCUUUUUUACUAGAAUUUAUCUAUGCUCUGACAUCACUUGUGUGAUAUGAGUUCAAUCUCACUCACAUAAGCACUAUAAAUUAGUCACUUUUAGGUUUUAAUUUUUUCACAUUUUUCACAUCACUACACGUUAUGGCUUCAUCACCUUCAAGGUGUCGACCAACACAUCGUGAUUCUAGUGUCCAGGUGGACAUUUCGGGUCUGGGUGUGUCAUCCAUAAUUGAGUUUUGUGUUAUCGUUAUAAAAACAUAUUCGCAUGUUAUUAUUGAAAUUUAAAAACACCGAUUUUAAGCUUCAUCCCAUAACCCAACCACGUAUUCAGUAUCUGCUAAUGCUUCUAAAUCCAUAGACAAACUGACUCAGGUUAAAUUCGUUUGUGCCAUAUGGAUUCACCAAAGAUUUUCAAACUUACGAUCAUUAAGCAGGGGAUCAUCUGGAAGAGGAAUGAGCAGUUGUCAUUCCUUCUUAGUCUCAUAUGAUGUGCCAACUACAACAUGUGUCCCUAGUAGCAGAGCCAUGAUUUUAGAUUAGGAGGGGCCUUUAAAAAAUGUUAAAAAAAAUGCUACAACACUGCUAACAACACCAGCCCUAAAACAACGUUGCAGCACGCUUGCAAAUCCAUCUCUCAUGCUUACUAAUCCAUCUCUUAUGGUUAUCGUCUCAUCCAAUGUUUGGUCAUCGUCUCAGCCACUACUUUCCUACUCUAGAUUUUUGGUCUAAUUACGAUGUUUGUUUGCUUAGUGACAAUGGUGUUGAUUUUUCAAUUUCUUUCCAUUUCAUCAAUACGUUCUAACCAGUUGGGAGUCAUGUUAAUUGGCAAAGAAAACAAUCUAAUAGAAAGGGCUAAUGAGAACACAUAAAUCACAUAUGGAUGAAAGCAUAAUUCAAGUUUGUCAACAACCACCAAUACCAUGUAAAAAGAUUAAACUCUAGGAAAACCAGCUCUCUCGCCUACUCUUUCUCUCUUUUUGUUUAGGGCUCUAGCCCUUUAAAAAAAUCUUAGAAAAUCAGAAGGAUAAUCUAAUUUUUUUCUCUGUAAAAAAAAUGUCAAGGUAAGUCGGAGACCAUUAUGGUCCCUUCAUGGCUCCGCCCUAGGGUGUCCCUGAAGCAGCAUAUGCAGUACCUGUUCCUGUUUUAGCAUCAUCAAGAGCACCUCCAAAAGUCUCACUUUGUCGUUUGGCUUACCUUAACAAGCCAGAGAUCCCCGAGGUAUUAUUAGGUACCAUAUUUAUGAAAGGGUAAUGCUAGGUAGACCAAAUUUUUAAGCCAAAUUUGUAAAAUCAAACGAUAUGUCACUAAUACGAAAUAAGCACAUUAAUCAACACUUAAGUAAUAACCUAAUCAUCAACACCCAAAUCAUUUGAUUUACAAAAUUUGGUCUUUCUAGCAAUACCCUUUAUGGAAUACUUAUGCCCAGGGCAAUCAAGACCUUCUUUGUGCCACCUCAUCAACUCUGCAAGGAUUUGGAUUGAUGGGCAUUAAGGCCAUCUCCAACUGAAGGAGCUAUGUUUAGCCCUUGUCCAGAUUAUAGCCCUGUAAUAAAUUAUUUUUUAAUGAACAAUGUUAGGCCAUAUUAUAUAAUAUCUCCAACCGAAUGACGCUAUUUUUAUCACUCUUAAUAAUUUAUUAUUUUAAAUUUGUUCUUUAAUUUUAUUGGUUAAUUGAAUUAAACUACCAUAUUAAAAUUAUGUUUGAAUAUGUUUUGAGUGUCACUUGUUGCUAAAUAAAUAAGCCUCUGGAUUUCUUAUCCAUUGGUUGAAGAUGUGACAUAUGAAAAAAAAUAUCGAAAAAUUUAAAUUUAGAUUAUUGGAAGAGAUAAGGGAGGGUGUUUAUAAAAAGGAUGUGAGAAAUGAUGUAGAAAUGGGCCUAAAAAAAGGGGCUACCCAUUUGGCUAAGAAUGCUGAGCCCGAUGGCCAAAGGAUAAAGCUUGGCCUGGUGGAUCCCCUUUUUCUUUGGCCCAACUGUGACGACUUGUCCUUAAUUUUCUAUGUAAUUUCUCCUCGAAUAAGUAAAUUACCGUUUAUGCCCUUGUUCGCAAGUGACGUGGACGUAUUUAUUCGCUCUUAAAUUAUUAUUCUCGCUAUCAUAAUUAAUUUGUACUCGUUACGAGUGUACGUUAAUUUUAUCAGUGUUAGAAACACUAUUUCAAAUGGAUUUUCUUAUUUGCUUUUACUGUGGGAAAUCUGUAAAAGCCUAUCUUGUUACUUCUUUAAAAUUUGGUAUGUGCCUUAUAUUUUUCACCAAUCAAUCUUCUUCCCUCUUUCUGGCACCUAAUCAGACUUUCCAUCUCUCUGCUCAAUCAGAAACCAUCACUUAUCUUUCUCAUCUCCUUCUCUUUCUUAAACCUGUACCUCGCUCUUCUCUGCAACAAAGAAGACCACCACCAUCUCUUCACAGAUCGAACCUAAAAACCACAUAUUUGGACUCCUCUCGUCACCACGAACUUAACCAUACCCUCAUAUCGCAUGUUGGUUAAGUUUUGAGUGGUUAGCGCGGAGUAACUCGGAAGCUCUAACUCGGUGGUUUUUGUGUCAAUGUGAUCGCAGCUGAGUUACCAAGUUUUGAAGGUUGUGGAAGCAUCCACACAACUCCUUAAGGUUCCUAGACUAGUUUUGGUGGAGCGUUGAUGUCGAAAUAAGCAGGUUCAACAAGUUGACUUUUUGACCGAGACAUUCGAGCCAUUUUCAAGCCAUUUUCCGUCCACUUUUGGCUUUUGGAAGGUAUAAUGUUGGUCUACUCUUCAUAAGCUUCAAAUCCAUAUAAAUUUCGUGAAAAAUGGUUAAGAAUUGAGCAAGUUAUAAAGGUUUGAAAUUUUCCCAGAAACCGAUGAGUUCAGACGGCGAUCGGCAAGGCGUCAACCCUGACGGAAUAUUCUAACGGCAUUAGGUAAUGCUGUUAGCUUCUGUUAAGGUUUUAACGGAAUAUUCCUAACACCGUUAGUCACAUGGAUUGUACGUGCUACGCGUGGCCGACGUGUGAGGGCGCGUCUGGUGUCCAAAAAUAUUUCUGAAAAUUUAUGUAGGUCCGUGACGUCGAGUAGAUCGAUUUCAUAUAUUCAAACCCUAUGUUUGAGAAAAUUAUGGGAAGUUAUUCUUAGUUUUUAGCAUAUGUCCUUAUUAAUUAAUUAUAAAUAGUUGUUUCGCAUAUAGGCGAAACCUACCCUGAGGAUGUGCGUGGACAAGCAAGACUAGGGGGCUACGACCCUACGACAUACCGGUGGGUGAGCAUUUUGUUUUUGUAUAUUAUGUAUAUAUUUUAUAGUUUCCAUAAAUGUUUUUGAAUGGUUUUAUGCAUUUAUGCCAUGAAUUAUAUAUUUUUCUAAAUGCUAUGAAAUGAUUGAGUUUUAUAUUGCAUCAUGGCAUAUCCAUAUGCAUAUUACCUGCAUGUAAUUGAUGUGAAUGGUUUGAAAUGCUAAUGUGAACACGGGAUGCUCAGGUAAGUCCAAGUAAAGUUAUGUUGUGAAUUGAAAUGGUUGAAUCACUAUGGCAUGUUUUGCAUAUAAAGUGCUCAUCAUUUCUACGUCUCGGUGUUAGUGCUCCCACCCAGGGCUAGGGCUAGUCCUUCAAGUGUAUGUUCACCUCCCGCACUGCACGCUCGCCUUGAAUCCAAGUAGGUGCUAGUCCUAUCGUACAUAUCACAUUAGGUGACUCAAGCUCGUAGGUGACCCGGGCAUAGCGUUAGUCUUCACGUGAUCGUAGCACUAGAGUGAUUAUUAUUACACCUAGUCCUGUCGUACAGGUCACAUUAGGUGACUCCAACUAACAUGUUAUGUCACAUCCCGACCUGGGGCGGACCACUUCCCGGGCCCGCUCCACCACCGUAGCACGAUAUUGUCUGCUUUGGACCCCGAUCACGCCCUUACGGUUUUGUUUUUGGGAACUCACGAGCAACUUCCCAGUGGGUCACCCAUCAUGUGAGUGCUCUGGCCACCUUUUCGCUUAAAUUCAGAGUUCCGACGGAACCCGAAGCUAGUGAGCUCCCAAAAUGCCUCGUGCUAGGUAAGGAUGAGAAUAUACAUUUAAGGAUCACUCCCCUAGGUGAUGUGGGAUGUUACAAUCCACCCUCUUUAGGGGCCCAACGUCUUCGUCGGCACACUUUCGGCAGGGAUUGGCUCUGAUACCAUUUGUCAUAUCUCGGCCCGGGGCGGAUCACUUCUCGGGCCCGCUCCACCAUCGUAGCACGAUAUUGUCCGCUUUGGGCUUACCAUUCUCUCACGGUUUUAUUUUUGGGAACUCACAAGCAACUUUCCAGUGGGUCACCCAUCGUGGGAGUGCUCUCGCGAGAACUCGUUUAACUUCGAAGAUCCUGCAGAACCCGAAACCAGUGAGCUCCCAAAAAGCCUCAUGCUAGGUAAGGAUGAUAAUAUACAUUUAAGGAUCACUCCCCUGGGCGAUGUGAGAUGUUACAUGUUAGUAUAGAUUACAUCACAUAAUCAUAUCUAUACUGUUGUUGAGAAUAUCUGUGGUGGCAUACUUCUGGACUUACAUUUAGCAUGAACUUAUUUUCAUACUUAUAAGUAGUAUGAUAUUUUUGGAAACUAUACAUGUUUUACAGUGAAGGGUUAGUAUGAUUGAAAAAUAAAUGUAUUUUAUAAACCUUUAUUUUUGUGCUUACUCAACCUUCUGUUUUUCGCCCCUCUAGGUCCUAGUUAGCUGAUUUAUCUCUGUGGCGUACAAGGAAUAGCUGGUGGAUUUCGACAUAUCUCCAUCUUAAGAACUUAUCUCUAGUUGUGUAAUAAGUACUUGUCUCGUUCGAUUGCUUUACCCUUAUGUUAUCUAUGCUUUGAAUACUUGUAGUUAUGGGUUGUAACCACUAUUGCGCACUCACGUUAUUAGUUAGUUAAAUUCUAGUUUUGGUUUUAAUUUAUUCACAAUUUUCUUACAUCACUUGCACUUUUGGUUACGUCACCUUCACGUGACGGCUAUCACGCCUUGAUUCCGGUUGGGGUGUGUCACCAACCCUCCAUUGGAGUUGGAUUUUAGAGCAUUUCGGGCUGGAUUUUGGCCUAUAGUCCUAUAGCCAUCUCCAUUGGAGAUGGCCUAAUCUUCUUUUUUUGGAGUGGGAUCUUUCAUAACAGUUCUCUCAAAACAUUGACUAUUCAUCACUCUGAAAUUUGUUUCAAUUCAUUUAGCUAGGCAAGAUAUUCCAAUACCCUUUCCUUUCAAUUCAUUUGAAACAUAAACCAUCAAAAAGUGGUUAAUCCAUGUCCUUAGUUAUAUUUUUCACCUCCCAAUGUUCCUUUCCAUUCUCUUGGCAUGGUAAUUUAGAAUGGUAGUUAUAUGUUUCAUUGAUCACUUGGAAGUCUCAUCGUUAUUUGGGCACAUGAUCGCGAGGUAAGACUCAAAUGGGUUCGAUUCUGUGUUCAUUCUGUUAACACUUUCUUAGAAUUAGGAAAGUUAUAUAUGUUGGAAAAUUUAAUAUUAUUUUUAUUAUAUUAAAUAAAUUAAUUGAAUGGAAAUUAGAAGUGAUGCAUUUUGGUAGAAAUACGUGUCUAUCCUAAUGAAGAGUUGUAACUUUUUCUCUUCAUGAAUGGUCACAUACUUUUCAAAGAGGUAUCUUAAAUUCUAUAAAUAGGGAGGCCUCUAUAAACAUAAAAUAACUUUUCAUUGUUUUACAUAAUCAUACAUAUAGUGCACUAAAUAUUAGAAAGUCUCAUUGAGUCCAUAUGAGAGAGUAUUCAAGACAAUCGUGGUUCAUGGAACCUUAUGAUUUGAAGUGCUACUAUUACAAGAAUGUGAUCGUUGUAUCUUGGGAGACAUGCGUUGAUCAACCAUGUGCACCGUAAUGGGGCGUAAACUUGUCUUAAGGACAAAGUGUGUAACACUUGCCUCGACCGUAUUUUCAGAUUUUUCGAAUCCAUUAUGUCAUGUUUGUUUAACAUUAGUUACUCAUGUGCAUGCAUUGCUUUGAUAUAUAAUUGCAUGAAUUAUUUCUUGAUUUUCCAUGUGAUUUAAUAUUAGCAAUUAUACCCUAUUUUUCCUACAAUAUAUUGUAUAUGGAACCAUCUGGACUGCUCCUCCCACCUUUCCAGAAGAAAAAAAUCCCCAUGAGACUUGCUUUGUUCAAGUAGCUUUAUUUCUUUAAUUGUUUAUAGUUCAUGUCUAAUGUGUCCUCAGGGCGACAGACGAGAAAUUAAGUGAUUUGUAAACAAUCCGCCGAAACUCUCUCAAAUAGGCUUUUUGGAAGAAAAGAAAACCAUUGCAGAUUGCCUACACAAGAAUAGCCUGAGGUAGUGAUUCUCCUGUUGUGAUGCCAUGUUCUUCUUGAAUGAAUAUGCUUUGAGUACACAGUUAACUGCUUAGGGGUGGUUUGGGAGUGAGGUGCUUAAAAAAAAAAACACCCAUGAAAAAAAGUUGUGAGGGUUUUAGGUGUUUGGUAAACUAAGGGCUGGUUUGGUAUUGCUGUGCUUUGAAAAAAAGCUGUUGUGAGAAUAAGCGGCUGUGCUGUGAGAAUAAGCGGCUGUGAAAUAAAUCAGUGUUUGGUAAACUUUUUUGUAAAAGUGCUUUUGGAAAAAAAAGCAGUUUGAUAGUGGGUCUUUUCAUUAAAGGAGCACUGUAACUCUGUGUGCUUUGAAAAAAAAACCAGUUUUCCAAAGCUGCAAAUAACAGCUUCAGCUUUUUCCUUUGAUUUCAGCUUAUUCUCACAGCAGCUUCCAAAAUAAGCCAUUUUUUUUUUCAGUUUACCAAACACCUAAAACCCUCACAACUUUUUUUCAUGGGUGUUUUUUUUUUUAAGCACCUCACUCCCAAACCACCCCUAAAAAAAGGGCUUAUUUUGGAAGCUGUUGUGAGAAUAAGCUGAAAUCAAAGGAAAAGUUGAAGCAGCUAUUUGCAGCUUUGGAAAACUGACUUUUUUUCAAAGCACACGGAGUUACAGUGCUCCUUUAAUGAAAAGACCCACUAUCAAACUAUUUUUUUUUUCCAAAUGCACUUUUACAAAAAAGUUUACCAAACACUUUGUUGAUUUAUUUUACAGCCGUUUAUUCUCACAGCAACUUUUUUUUCAAAGCACAACAAUACCAAACCAGCCCUUAGUAUGGCUAUACAUUCUGAUAUUCUAAUUUUCCCUCCAUGAUUCUUUUGGCAUGUGAUGAGGUAUAUUAUCAAAUACUUUGGUGGCAUAAAAUCUGGUAUCAUAUGUGAUUGAAUAAGUGCUUGAAUUAUGUUUUGAGUUUUAUUUAUUUAUUUAUUUUAUUUACUGUUUGACGUUGUUGUGGAGAAUGAAGGAGACAAUAUUAUCGGAGUUACGCAUUUGAGUGUUUAUAAAGGAACAAUACUUUAGUUUUUGAACUUUAUACAGUUUGGACAUAAAAGGACACUUUACAAGUAUGAGUAGGACCAUAGCUUUUGAAAAACAUUACCUGGGGAUGGCGCAUUAAUAUCUCAAAUUUUUGUUAUGUAAUAUAUGAAUGUAAAUAACACUAGGUGUACCAACAUCCCCAAAAGUUUCAAGUCUUUACAUGGAUGUUACAUAUAAUGUAACCUGUAAACAGUACUCUGCCACAUAUUUUCAAGACUUUUCACCCCUCAAACAAAGUUUAAAAUCCCGCGGCAAUUUACGGGUAAACCUGCUAGUAGGAGAUCAAAUUGUCUACACCCAUUUGUUUUCAGUUUGAAAACCAUUUGUUUUCAGUUUUUGUUUUCAUUUUUUUUAAAUUGAAAAUUGAAAUAUGGUUUGGUAACUACUUUUAGGAGAUUAAAUCGUCUACACCCGUUUGUUUCCUACAUACCAAACGAAAUGGAUAUGUACUAGCUGUUUCAUUAAGUUGUUCCCAAGAUAAAAAAAAAAAUAAAAAUGAAAUAGUUAUCAAAUGACCCCUAAGUUAUUGCCUACUUACCAUUUUCGUUGAUUAUUUGUUUGUGAGUUUUGGCCUAGUGCCCCUGCUUGUACCUUAAUAAAAUUUGGUAGAGGGGGGGGGGAGGAGGGGAGGUGGGUUUUUGGGUGCCAUGAUCUUUUUUGUUUUGUUUUUUUUUUUUUCCGGGAAAGAGUAAAUGCUUCACAAGUGAAUAUUUGUGAAGAGAUAAUCUCAUCUAAUCCUUCUCUUCUUUCACCCAAAAGAAAAAUAAAAUUAAAGCUACAAACCAUUUGCAACUCUAACAAUUUCAGGUUUAGGGUAAGUGAGGGAGAGGUUUAAGUUCUAAAAAAAUAAACGAUAAGAGAGGACCCCCUAGAGCCCACAUUAGGAAAUCCAGCAGAUACCCGCACGAAGCCCAAACCUGAGCCCAAUAAAAAAAAAAUCCAAUUUUCGUCGUUUGUGACCCAACUAAACUAAAAAUUUUGGAGCCCAAUUUUGGCAGAUUUAGGUUUUCUCACUUGCUCUGAACUCUGAAGCGCGAAAAAGAAUAAAAAAUCAUAAAAUUUUCUGGGUUUAUGAUUCUGACACUGAGAAACACUCUUUUAGGGUUUUAAGUUCACCUCUCUGAACAUCGAAGCUCCAUCAAUGGCGAGCCCUAAGUCCAUCGACGCCUCGCUCUGGUGGGACUCUUUCUCUCUCUUACUCACCGAGCUCGAAAAUGCCUCUCUCUCCUCCGACCUCCCUCCCAUUCUGGUAAACCCCCCAUCUCUCUCUCUCUCUCUCUCUCUCUCUAUAGAUAUAUGCAUGUAUGAAAAGUGUUGAACUUGGUUGGUAUUUUGGUUAGGUAAAGAAAUUAACGGAGAAUCACGCUUGGUUCGUGGACACAGUGUCUCGCUUCAAGCCGCCCAAUGAGAAUUCGAGGGAGGCUUUGAAUUCACAGCAAGUGAAAAUUGGGUCUCACCAGUUGAAUAUAAAGCCUGAGUUGAAAGAUAAAGCUUUGAAAGUCAGCUCCUAUUUGGUGAGUUUGUACUGCUGCUUUUAUGCCACUUUUACUUUUAAAAUGUGUGUGCAUCUGAUGUUUAUAUAUACAUACAUUUUGAAUUUUUCAAAUCAACCAAACAUUCCAAAUUCGAACUUCGGCCUAGUGUAAAAGUUUUUGUUUUUCUGAUUUCGGGCUCUGCGAGAACUUUGAUUUCGUUUUGGAUUAUCAAUGACAAUUACCGACUUGUAAAACUAAUCAAGUAGUUUUAGGAUUAAUGAAAUCGUUUGUAAUGAGACUUUUUCUGAGAUUGGAAUGAUCCACAUGCAAAUUUUCAACAAUUGGGUGCUGCUUAGUUGAUUUAAUAGCAUGUUCUAAUGUUGUUGGAAACAUAUAGAUUUGGUAUUCUGUAGAAAAUAAUGAUGGUCAUUGAUUCUCCAUUUGCUACGAAACUGAUUUUGUUGUUUGUCUAAAGUGUCUAGAUGAGGUGCAAUCGUACAUUCUUGUUGAAAGGUCUCUCGAGAACAAAGAUGUAGCUCUUGACUCUAUACUGCACGAGUAUUUCUAUGCGGUUAGUAUCUCACUUAUUGUCUGACUGCGACUUAUAUGAAUGUUGGAUGCUAUAAUUGUUCCUAUGUUCGAAGUACUUGGGUACAGGUUGGAUGAGCUCAGUGUGAACAAAAUUUUUUGCUGCUUACAUGAAUCGGACAUUUUUUUAACCACAAACAGGGAAAGAAAAAGAAGAGGGACAUUUAUUGCUAGUGGUCUGUCUCACUUAAUUUGUCUUUGUUUCCCCCCUUCUCUUCCCUCACACAGGUGAUUAUUCACUAUUAUGUUGAACGGCAGUGCCUGCUGAAGUGCACCAGGAGUAUUCUCACACAUGCUUGUAAGUCAAUCAACAGUCCCACCUCUCCAUUUAAACUAUCUAUGGCAUCAGGAUACAUUUUUAGAGCUGUACUUCAACAACGGUUGAGAAUUGAUCAUUAAUGCAGUGUCUUUGGAAAGCGUCUCUGGAGAUGGUAAUGCUAUUAAGAAGGAAGCACUAAAGUUGAUUACUGACGGAUUGGAGGUGAAGCUGAUAAAUGUGCUGCAAGUCCUUUUCUCCUCCAGUCACCCGGAACAAAUGGUAUGCUUAAAUCCCAAUUCAAGAACGUACUCUGUUCGAUUUUGAGUCUUCUAAACUAGAUGGCAGAUAUGAUCUUACCCCUUUAGAUUUAUAAAUCCCUACUCCCUAGCGGAGCAAUUAUUGUUUUUCCCUCUUCGGGCACCCUUUUACUCUUUUCAUUCUUAUGGGAUGUGCUAUGCCAAAUUACGAAGUUCAUUGAUGUCGAAAUAACAGCUUAUUGCAUGAUUGACCAGCUUUGGCUACAAUGUCAUUAGUGGGCGAUAGGAAGCUGACACAAUGGACGAGACUGCUCUUUGGUAUUUAUCAUUUACAAGGAUUUCAUAUUGUUAUGUUAAGUGAAACUAAGGUUAUGGUGACCUAGUGGGACUGUGGGAGUCAUUGCUAUAACAACACCUGGGGGAAGUUUUAAGCCAGAUAUUAACAAGUAACAAGUCCCUACUGUCAUGCGUUGUGCAGUAGCCUAUGAAUCAUGUAUUCGGGUGGGGAAUAUCUUAUUAGCUGUCCUUGUUUUACAUUCAUAUGAGGCUCUAGGACAGAAGAGGUGGAACAAGUUUUAGCUUCAGCAAGUUGGACGAUCCUAUCAUAGUUUAUUCUGCUGACUUGACCAAUCUUAUGUCUUAUGUUUCCUUAUUUAUAUUUGAAAUUCUACGUUGAUGCCCAUGUACAAAUACGUGUCUCGACGCAUGGGUACAUGUGUGCAUGCACAUUUUUAUUGGAAUUGAAUAAUUAUGUAUUUGUUACAAAGCCUUAUUUUAUCUUGUCUGGUUGCUUUAUUAGGAUCUUGACCUUUUCACUUUGUGGGCCGAGGAGACACUAAUUGAAGACAAUUUGGUUUUGGACAUUCUUUUCCUUGCUUAUUAUGAGUCAUUUUGUACUUGUAAUGGUGAAAGGUGGAAAACUUUGUGUUUGCUCUAUAAGGUAUUUUGUUAUCUUCGUCACAUAAUUCAUUUACAAAGUACUCUCUUAUCCAGUCCAAGUCAAAACCUUUGUCCUGCAGGGAACUUUAUCUGGGUCCUAUAACUUUGAAAAUCUGGCAGUAUCAACUGAAGCGCUACGUUCUUCUUAUCAAACCAAAGUCCAGCUGCUUCUCAUCCUUAUAGAAACCCUGGACCUGGAAAGUCUUCUCCAGAUGGUUCACGAUGCAAUCCCUUUCAGGUUCUUAGCUAGUUAGGAUGCAUCUUGUAUUCAUUCUGCAAGUCAUGAUCUAGCAACACUAAAUAUCUUUGGUCAAAUUGUUGGUUUGUACAUUUAAAUAUCUAGAUUGUGGAGAUCACCUUUCUUGCACAUUACAGUGCAACAUUUUUUUUGCUUAUGUACUCAAUGAAGAUUCCUUUGGCGGAGACCAAGGGAUGAAAUGUCCUGAGGUGGAAUCCACUUGCGAGGCAGAUGCUGCGUGCAUUUAGUUUGCCUCAUCAUUAAGACAUGGUGUUGUAUUUUAGACACGACUGAGUUAAAAUAACAAGGGCGGACUUAAAUAUUGGUUUCUAUUGGGUCAAAAAAUUCUACUAACUAUGAAAACCCAAGCACAGAUGAUAUGCUCUUUUAUUAUUUAUUUUUUCAUGUGAAUGCAAUAUGAUUGAUACUUAUAUAUAAAUAAGAACCACUGACUCAUUACAAGCAAGUCUAGAAAUCUUUAAAAUAAUAUGGGCAGUCUAGGUUGAACGUUUCCAUAUCCAAACACUGAUUCCCGAUCUGAGUGAAGCUUAACUACUAUCUGAUCUAUAAGCAUGCUGUUAGCCAAGCCUGUGAUGUGAAUGUGACUGGGAAUUCAGGACAAUCUAUAAUUUUAGGUUUGCAAUCAUAGGACCAUAGGUAUACAUAUAUGCUUAUUAGUGCUGGGUAACUUUCUUUUUAUUUAUUCAAAUGAAAACUGUUAAUCUUCAUCAGUAUCAUUCCAAACAGUGGUUGAUUCCUUAGGGCUUAUAUGCUAUUGUUCACUCUAUUCUUUGUGUCCAUUUUUAAAUUGCCACUUUAUACAUCCUUAACUAUAUCCUUUCUUAUUUUCUUUUUCUAAAUGUUAGACCACUUGUGUUAUUCCUCAGGCAGGGCACAUUUGUUUUUACUUUGGCUGAUGUCCAAGAGAUGGAAGCGAUAAUUUCAACAUUCAAUGCUUUUGAAACAAAAGAAGCAGGUCCAUUAAUUCUAGCCUGGGCUGUUUUUCUUUGUCUGAUUUCAUCACUUCCAGGUAGUGAAGAGAGCAAUGUACUAAUGGUAUGUGGUUCUGCACAUAUGUUGUCUCCAAUUCCAGGCUGUAUGAAUAAUAGAAAUAAUUAAGAGAACUCUUAUUAGCACAGUAACACUCCAAAAAUCGCAUUUUGCACUCCUCACAAGUGUAUUUUUCUUUCUAAAUAUAGAAAUCUUGGAGUGCAAAAUGAGAAUUUUGGAGUGCUAAUAACAAUUCCCAUAAUUACUGUGCUUAGUUUUUCUUUUAUUUUCCAGGAAAUUGAUCAUGUUGGUUAUGUUCGUCAAGCGUUCGAGGCUGCAUCUUUGUCUUAUUGUGUUGAAAUCCUUCAAAGUGAUGUAUUGAAAGAAUCAGAUGUAAGUUAUUCUCAAUUUGUAAGUGUAUGUGUUUAGAGUGAUCAGUUUCUAGUGGUGCCCCAUAUGUUCAAGUUUUCUGCUUGCUUUUUUCGCCGCUUGGGAUCCGUCUCGAGGUGUCAACGAGUUCUGAUUUAUGUUUUGACUUUUCCAUUUUAAGAAUCAUUUUUUGGUCUCUUCCCUCACAAAGUCUUUUCAUUUCCUAAAGAGUGAUAUUUUUUGUGUCUCCUUCUCCUUAGGGGCCUGCUGAUGGGUAUCACAGUGUGUUGAGAACUUUUAUAUCUGCAUUUAUUGCAUCUUAUGAGAUCAAUCUUCAGGUAAAUGCAUAAUGGACCUCUGCUAAAACCUUGUUGGCAUUUUGUUGGAUGUAUUUCUUAUUUCUUCUGUCCUUGUUUUGUGCAGCUGGAAGAUAAAUCUCUGAAGUUAAUACUGGAUAUUCUUUGCAAAAUUUAUCAGGGAGAGGUUUGGACACGUCUUAUCUUCCAGCAUCUGUGAUUCAAUAAAAUAAUUAUUAUAAAGUUCAAAUUGCGAUUAUUGUUUGAAUAGUGUAUUUGAAAUUCUUCUGAAUUUUGCAGGAGUCACUUUGUAUCCAGUUUUGGGAUCGUGAGAGUUUUAUUGAUGGCCCUAUCCGUUGUCUUCUUUGCAGCUUAGAGGGUGAAUUUCCUUUCAGGACAGUGGAACUAGUUCGCUUUUUAUCAUCACUUUGUGAAGGAACUUGGCCUGCAGAAUGUGUGUAAGUAGACUUAUUUGGCAUGGUUGUCCAAAUUCUGGUUUUUGAUAAACAAAAUGAGUUAUAGACCUAAUCACUAUAUGGGUGUAGGGUUAAACUUUAAUUUGGUUAUCAAAAUCCUCAGUCAGGAAGUUUUUACUUUAUUAGUUGAACUUGAUAAUAAGAAGAAUUUUUGUAUCGAUUAAUUAUAAUCGAUUAUCUAAAGAAUGAAUUAUUAUGUCGUUCCCUCAUUGUUGUGUAAUCAUCCUGUCAACAGGUAUAACUUUUUGGAUAAGUCUGUGGGUAUUUCAUCCCUUGUUGAGAUUAAUAAUGGCUCCGUUGGGGAGGACAUGUCUCAAAUUGUUGAGACGCACCUCCCUCUGCUUGUUCCUGGAUUUGAAGGUCUGGUUAUUCCCAGUAAAACUUGUGGACAUGUUUUAAGAUUAGUUAGUGGAAAUACCGCUCUUGUACGAUGGGAGGUAAAUGGCUAAUUACUUUAACUAAUAUUGGUAAUUACUUUGUAUUGGUGACUUUUGUAUAUUCUAGACAAAUAUCACUAGACUUUCAACUGCUUAUAAGUGCACGGGUAUUAGGUUAUACUUUAAAGAGACUUUUCCAAUGUUAGUGCAUUUAUCUGUGUGUGUUGUUUUUCUCCUUCCUCUUCAAUGUUUUGCAAAAUGCUCUUUCUAGUGUAGUUUGAAAAUUGAAUAGUCAUUUUCAGGAGUUGUCAUGUAAAAAAUUAUUACCAUCCUCAAAAGGUUAAAUUGUUCUAAUUUUUUAUGUCUCAAUUAUACACACUACGUGUGCGACAUCAAAAUUUUAUUUCUUAAAUUAUCUUCCUUUAUCUUUUUUGAUUUUGUCUUCCUUUACUUUCUACUAGCCAUGGUUUUUUCUGAGAUAAUGGGUGACAUGUCCAUUCUUACUAAGUGGGUUGUAAAACAGUAUAUCAAGGAAAGUAAUAUAAGAUAUCCAACUGUAUUUUCAAUUAAAUUUUAUUUGGUUGCUGUUUCGUGCUAAUUUAUGCCUUUUUUGUACAGUAUAAACAAUCUGGGGUGCUAGUAUUGCUCAUGCGCCUGUCCCAGGAGCUGUAUUUUGACAGAAAUGACGAGGCUCUUCUUAUCCUUGACCUAUUUAGGCGGAUGGUUACCUUUAACACAGUAUGGUUUUCAUCAUUCAUUGCUGGAGUCUUUAUGGAUUCGAAGCCUAUUGGUUACAUCAAUUAGUUCAUGUUACAAUUUGUUGUUAACAUUUGGUUUUUCUCUAUGAAAUUUGGUGAUUUUCAUGCUCUAUUGUAUGUUUUAAAAAGUUUGAGCCAGGCACACCUUGAGGAUCGCCUCAUAGCGAGGCAUUCAGUUUUUUAUAGGGUUCCUUUUUUUAGCAUUUAUCCCAUUUAGCAUACUCUAAUUGGCUGAGGCAUACACUUUUCGUCAAGGCUUAUUCUUUUUGGGAUAAAAUGACACUUUCGAAACAUAAUAAAACAUGCCCCAAAAGGCAUAGUUUAAGGUGCUAACAGUAAAAGCUUCAGAAACACCCUUUAACUCCAAUAACCUGAUGGUAGUUUGCAUGGUGAUCUUUGUAGUGACGAUGAGGAGGACUAGAAUGUGUGAAGGGGAGAUUUUCCCUUACUGGAAUUGCUUUUUUGAUUAUAUUGUUUGGAUCUGUAUUCAAGUUUGAUGGUCUGGUUGAAUUAUAUGUUUAAUGGUUGAAUGGAAGUUGGUAAUUUUUUAUAUUUUUGUUAUUAUAGAGUUCUGAAAGGUUUAUGCCUUAACGUGUCAAGCCUAAGGCCUUGAAUCUCGAUUAAGCUGUAUUAAAUAAAUGUGGAUGCAAUCAGAACGUUGAAAUAGUUUUCCCCUUGGGUUGCCAUAAAUAUUAUAACAUUUUAUCAGCCUCCACCACCAACUUCUGACUUCUUGUGCUGUUUAGAGUGGACAGAGAAUAGUUUAGCUGCAAUUGAGCUUAACCUUGCCUUGUUUCCUUCCCCUCUUCCCUCCUCUCUUAAUUUCUUUACAUUUCUGUAACCAUCUCUUUUUUACCAAGCUUUUCGUACUGGUGUUUUAUUUAGGCGGUAUGUUUUGCUUUGAUGGACAUUGGGAGCUCAUCGCAUUUCCAAUCAACUGACAUGGGUGGACAGAUAGAAAGUAAUAUGCGGUAAUCAUGCAACCUUUUUGUUUGUGCUUGUGUGUUCCUCUUUCUUGCCUAUAUUAGCAUUUCUUGUAAUUGGCACUUUCUUGUUUUACCAUCCAGGUUGGUUGAGAUCAUUUGCACUUUGGUCAGAAAACUAUCUCCUACUUCGGGCGGUGCUGCUCUGAUGUCCGUGGGUAUAAAUAUUUUGGCAAAGAUGUUAAGAUGGUAACUUUAUCCCCUAUUCUCUUUUGAGUUGUUCUGUAUCUGUGUGUCUUUCUAAUUCAGGGUAUUUUGAUAUCCUUACUAUGUGGAAGACUCCUUUCCCAUCUAAUGCUGUGGUUUUGUGCUAUACUUAAAUUGACAGAAAAACUGUCUUUUGAAAGUUUUCAUAAAGUCUUAGUGCUAUUAUCUAAAGCCUUCAUUUAGUACAACCAUAGCAAUAAGUGAAACUGGAAGAACUAUAGAUAUGAUGGGAGCUUGUAGCUCCAGUGGUAGAGAGCCGUUAACCCCACACCCAAAUUCCAAUUCAAACCUACUCCUCCCCCUUUGAUAUCCUCUGUACCAGGAGGAAAUGCAGAUGACACACAGGAAAGCAUUCUCUUCUGAAAUAAAAAUUAAUAUUUAUUGAUAUGGUGCAAGUAUAGAUACACUUAACAAGUUGCUAGUCCAUUGCAUGCAAAAAUGCUAAAUAUUUAAUAUUUAAGUUAAUUUCUAUAUAAAAUUUUAGCCUUGUCGCAUGCAAUUGACUAGAAACUGUUACUCAAAUAUGUCUUCAACUGGAAAUGUGUUGUUAGGUACGUAUGCAUGAGAGUUUGAUGUUAUGAUUCUGAUGUUUGAUACAGCUCAUUGUUGUAGGUUUGUUUUGUUUUGGUGGAUACUUGUUCACUGUGUUUGUAACUUUGCUUUGAUAGUAACAAGGUUCUCUUUCCUCAUAAGAAAAUAAAGCUGGCGUCGAUGACUUCCCUACACUGCUAGCAGUCCUAGUUGGACAUGACAUAAUUCUUUAAAUUAAUAGUGCAAUCUUAUAUGCAAUAUUUUGAACUCUUAUAUUCUUUGUGUGAGUAAAUAAUAUAUCCCGAACUUCUGAGUGUUGUUGAGCCUAUAAUUAUUGCUUGAAUUGUUGUUGGCCUAGGCCGGAUGUGAGCACAACCUGUUUUUCUAAGAUGCAUUUAUUGUACAGUUCCCCUUCUCGUGUGUCCGAGCUGGCUUUAAAGGCAAAUAUAUUUGAUUUCAGCAAUGGCCGCAAUGAUCCAUCAAGGUGAAUCUUUGAGAAAAUAUCAGCUUUCUUUGUUCUGCUGUUAUCAUGCGUACAUAAAAAUGUGUGUUACACAUUCUUACUUUAAGUUAAUUGAGGUAUACAAUUAUCUAAAGUGGAGCUUUAUUUAAUUUUCUUAUCUCUAUUUAUUUUUCAGUGUUUUGUCUGGCAUUCUUCAUAAGACAUUUUUCGCCACUGUAUAUUGCUGGCCAAUUUGUUUUCCUGUAUAAUUGUUCGUUUGGUACUUUUUUUUCCUGGGAACGCUCUAGUUGUUUCCAGUUGUGUUGUAGAAGAUUUGUUUCUCUUUAUGGCACUUCUUCAGCUUUGCACUUUCUUUUUUUGUUCUAACCUUUUCUAUCACUUUUUUUUUUGUUUUUUGUUUCUAGUGGUUCAUGGUUUCUUUCUGGAAAACUAGCAAAGAUGCUAUUAAUUGACUGUGAGCAGAAUGAUAGUUACUGCUCAUUGACUAUAUCAGGUAUAUGUUAAAUCAUUCAUUUUGCCAUCUUCUGUUUUGCUAAGUCUUGCAUUGAUGUGCUUUUGCUGGUAUAACAUCAUUUAGUUCUAUCUUGAUUUGUUUUGUACUAAAAUAUGUUGAUACAUACAAUAAAAUAUGAAGUACUGGAUUUUUUUUUUUUUUUGGUUUUAUUUUUUAUACUUAGCUUUCUGCUUUGACACGGAUGAUUUUAAAAUGUUGCAGUGCUGGACUUUACUCUAGGUCUCAUGGAGACAGGAUUAAAAAAUGAUGCUGUCCAGGAUUUAAUUGUUUUCUCUGUUCAGUAUGUUCUUGUUAACCAUGAAUACUGGAAAUACAAGGUGAAGCAUGAUCGUUGGAGAGUAACAUUGAAGGUACAGCCUUGAUGAAAACUGAUGGGGUUCAGCCUUCUGAUUUGUGUAUAACUAACAUAAAUUGGUUUCUCUUGUGCUGGUAUUGUGGCAAGUUGGUUCCCAAUGUUUAUUUAUAUGCGUAUGGAACACACUAGGAUGUAAACUGAUGGAUUUCAGACUUUUGGUUUGUGUAUAACUAACAUAAAUUCUGAUCUGGUCUUAGUAAUUGGAUUGCGUCGUAUAUCAGCCUUAAACCGUCAAACACCGAGAAAAUUGAUGGUUCCACACAGGCACAUACAAGAGAGUAAUUUUAUUGUUCUUAAACACCUAUAGAUUUAUAGAAAUGACAAGAAAUUUGGAAAAUCAAGUUUUUUUUUUUUUUCCAUUCAUACGAGGUCAAAUCCAUUUAUUCUGCAUGCAGUUGUUAUCAUAUUUGUUGUAGCUUGUUAAGCUGUGAGUGCGAAGCCAUUUGUCUUUCGUAUACCUUCUGCAUUUGUUCUUUUAAUUGAUGUAACUUAACCAGUUAAAGAGUACGAGGCAUAUGAUUCAUGAAUCUUUCAGAUACCUUUCUAAAAUAUGAAUGAGAGUGCAGUUAAAUAGGGAAGAGGGUUUUUUUAGGAGGUGGCUGUAAAGAUUUCCAUUGGGAUGAUAAUCGCUUUGGCUUUUUUCCGUUCGUGUUCGAUUUGGCAUUGAUGCCACUAUGUGAGGCUUUAUUGUGGUGGCUAGAGUUUCGAAUUAAGGUCCUUGGAGUGACAUUCCAAUGGGAGUUAGUUCUUUUCUUCGUGAUCUUUGGUUACUUAUGGGAAUGGGGGAAGAGGAAAUCCACUGUAGAAGUAACAGUGAUCUGAGUCUAAAGGGACAAAAUAGGAAUUCAUUUGAAUGUUACUCUUUUAGUAUAUAUAUAAUUUGUCCAUGAUGUGCCAAUUGUCAAUCUCCAAUUUCCUAUAUUCCAAACUUCCAAUGAGUCGGAAGUUCAAUUUUUGGAAAUUUUGAAUGAUUUAUCUCCUUUUGUUCCUUAAUUUGAAUGAUCUUCCAGAACUGUUGAGUAGAUAACAAGCUGUUAUAGAACUAAAGUAUCUUUAGUGGAUUUACUUGUUCAAUGUUGUACUGUUCACUUCAUUUUAAUAGUGUUUAUACUGUUUGUUAUCAAAGAAAAGAAAAGCAUAAAAGAAUCAAGUUGUAAGCAUAUUUUUAAGCUGAUACACGUGAGCCCAAUAACCAAGCUUGUAAAUGAAUUCAUAUCAGAAACUUUGUCUGCAUCAAUGUGUUCCAGUUAGGGAAUUGCAGUGUGCAUCAAUGCAUGCAUGCAUACAUGGUACAGAACAUUGUUUUCUGCACCUGAAUGUGGCUUCUCAAUGCUAGUUAACUGUUUACUUAUGAAAUGGAAACUAGGUGUUGUAAAUGUCAAUUAUGGCGGGAAGGCCAAGUCCAACAUCAUUUUACUGUUUCAGGUGCUUGAAGUGAUGAAAAAAUGUAUUACAUCAAUAUCAUGCUCUGGAAAGUUGGAUGAAGCCAUCCUGGAUAGGUUACUGUCUGAUUCUUCCAUCCAUAGUACUCUCUUUCGGAUUGUUUGUACAACCACCCAAGCACUGGAGGUGGGCUAUGCUAUGUAUCUUUUAAUCUUAUUUGGUGAUGACCUGCUGUCAUUUGUUCUUAUCACUAAUUUGGGAGCAUUUUUCUGCAGAGACUUUAUUUCAGCCGGCUUGUUGAUCUAACAGAGAUUGAAGGCUUACAGAUGGCUAUAUGUUCUGUUUUAGAUAUUCUUUUCAUCAUGCUUUCUAAAUUUUCUAAGGUAUUUGGACAUAAGCUUGUUGAAUAUGCAUUUUGAUUGUAUGCGCUGUUUGAAAGACUUUUAAAGUUGCACAUGUUACAAUUUUUUGGUAUUACUUAGAUGAUGUACAGAUGUGGUGUUUUGUUUCUGUUCAAAAGUGAGUUUUCUUGAUGUACAUUACAAGUUUGAAAAAUAAAUCCCCUCUAGCUUGCUUUAAAAGGGAAAAAGAGCAGUCAACUGUAUAACAAAAUCUUGUCUGCUCUUUUCCCUAUUCUAGAGUGUUCUGUGUAGUUGCCAACUAUAUGCAUCUUUGAAUCUGUGAUAGCUAUAUUUCUUUAUUUGUAAUAUGAUGGUUGGUUUUACACGUUGUAUUUUUAUUCUGUACUGUAGUUGAUGUUCAGUCGGGUUUAUUUUCAGGAUAUAUCUUCCAGUCCUCCAUUUUUUCAUCAAGCAGUUUUCUCAUCAGCAACGAAACCAUUUCCUGUUGUUGCAGCGCUUGUGUCCUUGAUAUCUUACUUUCGCAAUCCUGUAUGGCCUCUCCAUGCUCAAUUGUUGAUUACAUUCUCUUUGAUAUGUUUCUAAAUAAUACAGUUCUCCCAGUUGGGUAACUGUGUAUUUACAUAUAUAUUAUCAAAUUACAAUGUUGAUUUCUUUAUUGUUAGUUCUGCUGGAAUAGUUCCCCAUUUACUUGUGUCCAUUAUCUAUCUAAUUAUUGUUUUGUGGGAGUUGCAUGUCAAUUUGUUUCUGUUUUAUAUACUUUGUACAACACAUGGAUUCAUAGGAAACUUAUAAUUGCAUUCAGUGGUUUGUUACUCAGACCAUUGGGCAUGAUAGGCGCGUAAUGCUGAUUUUUUUACCUUCAAACUGGCAUGCACUACUGGAUAGAAUAUAGCAUUAUGCACAUCUUAUAUGCAUUUAAUUAUGAAAAGGUUGGGCAGACUAUAAAAAUGGGGGAAUGUGUCUUUGACUCUUUGUUGACCUUAACUGAAUUGCUUGAUGGUAGGUGGGAUGGUAUUCUUAUAAUUGUUUAGCAUCUUUAUUAAGAUUCUCGAGUUCCCAACGCAGGGAAUACAAGUUGGUGCUGCUAGGGUUUUAUCACUGUUCUUGAUGAUGGCCGAUUUUAUGCAACCGUAUUUGUUUGGUAGCAGCUUCGGUCUGGAUGACAAACAGGUAAUGUUGGUUUAUGUUUUAUCUUUUAGUUCCAUGUUAAUUUCUUGUAAAUUCACUUGAGUGAAUCAACUGCUUCUAAAUCUGUUUGUGGCACUACUGAACCGUCGUAGAUUGGAGAGCUGAGGCAUUCUAUUAGUUACAUACUACUUGAGCAGUCGGAAUUGAAUGAAGAUCUCUUUGUUGCUGCAGUCAAUCUCCUCACUUCUGCUGCGCGUUAUCAGGUUUGUUACAGUAGGUGUUAAGUUCUGUAUUUUUUUAAUUGUUGGAGCAUCACUCAUAGACUUAGGAAAGAAAAGAAAGAAUGCUAAUGGUCCAGUUCCUUCCACUUAAUUUAAGGUAUCUUCACAAUUGUUUGGUUAAUGCUUCAAAAUUUUAAUUGUUUUUUUCAAUUUCUUGGAAAAAAAGUACUUUUAAAUUCUGUGUUUACAUACGAGCUUAUCGUUCACAAAUAUUUAGUUAGAUUGGCAAGCAUUGUGUUUUAGCAAUCGAUUGCCCUAAUUUACUUAACUCUGUUUCUUUGAAGUGAAUGCUGCCUUGUCAACUUCCAAUUUUAUUGCUUGAUUAGUAAGAAAAAUUUAUGUUGCAAAAAAAAAAGAGAAAAAAGUGUUUUAGAUUGAUUUGACCCAACCAAAGAACUAGUUUUUUUUUUUUUUCUUUUUUUUUUUUUCCAAAAAAGAACUAGUUAAUUGGAUUGCAUUGUAUUUGUGUGCAUAUGGUGGCAAUUUUAAUGCAUUUCCUUGCCAAAGCAAACUUUUGUAGUUAUAGUGAAACCUUUCCCUGGAGUCCUCCACUAUGUGGUUUAGCUUUUUCUUAUUUAAUUGUUUAUUCAUACAGCCUGCUUUUCUUGUUGCUGUAUUACCAACCAAAGCGAAUAAGGAUGUCCAACUGAGUAAUGGUGGCGGUGUGAAGCUGCCAACAAAUGAUUUUGAGUCUGAAAAGGCAAGCGCUGUUCAUGCAGUUUUGCAUCACAUUGAAAGAUCUAAUAAUCUUAUCAACAGGUACUUAGUCCUGAUUGAAUUCUCGAUUUUGUUUCUUAGUCAGUUACUUUCCCUUUCAUCAUUUACCUUGCAGUCCUGAAAAUUCUGCAAUUUUUUUUUUCUGAGAUUGAUAUGAUCAUAUCUUGAAUAGUCGCAUUCAGUUUGAACAUUUUUUUUUUUUUUCUAAAUCUGCAGCAAUCCCCGAAUACUGCUGAAUGUUCUUAACUUUCUAAGGGCGCUGUGGCAAGGUGCUGGUCAGUACACUAAUAUUUUGGAAUGCCUGAAAAGCUCUGAAAAUUUCUGGAAAAAAUUGUCCGGUCCUAUUUCGAUAUUUUCUAGUAUGCAAGCUCCUCCACCUGAAAAUGCUGAGACAGAAGUUGAAGAUUUGUCGGUCAGAUACCAGUGCCAAUCUGCCAUAUUGGAAAUAAUAGCGCAUGACAUGUUCCUGCACAAAAAGCUGUUACAUGCGGAGUCAUUUGUAAAACAGCUGCCUGAAUCACAACAAAAUACAGUAAGAUCAGAAAAAUCAAAAGCUGCAGAUCUUGAAGAUAUUUUAUCAGCCUGGUGUGGGAGCUCUGUUUUGGGCAAUCUGACCAAGUCACUUACCUAUUGUGAGUAUGACCCUGAGUUGUAUUUGCGGGCGAAGGUAAGUUCUAGUUAGAAUUAUUUUCUCUACGAGUCUGCUAAUUUUAACUUGUGAAUUUUGUCUGUGGUUUUGGUCCUGGGGUUUUCUUCACUUUGGUUGGCUAUUUAUCACGUAUGAUUUCAUCUUCAUUCAUUCUGUGCGUUUUUGUUGGUUGCAUUAUGUUUUAUAAGUUGAAGCAUUUAGUGUUCCGCUGACGUUCCCUGCUCUAGGAAAGUCCUUUUUUGUAUAAAAAGUUUCUCGCUUAUGCAUUGCUCUGUUCAAUCUGCUGUAUGACAUACAUUAGUACUAACUUAUAAAUGAAGUUGUUCCUUGAUAGGAUGUCAGACUUUUUCUUAUAGGUUCUUAAUUUUUAGAAUGCAGUAUUCAUACCUCUGUAACUUAACAGGUUGCUGCGAGUGUAAUAACUGCUCGUGUGAUGGUAAACUUAUCAAUUGGUGAUGCAGGAAGUUUGUCUGUGUCAUUACUUGAGAAGUCUAGAAUCCUGUCAAAUAAGGUUCGAUCCCUUCUUGAUUGUGUUAUUUAAUUUGUAAUCCAAGAUAAUUGUAUGUUGAGAAAUCCAUUAAAGGUUCAGUUUAGUUUCUAAUUUCAUAGAUUCUCAUAUUUAAUACUUUCCGUUUUAUUAAAAUUGAGAUUGUAAAAUUUGCAUCAUAUCUGAUUGCUGUUACCUUUCUUUUUACCCUUCUUCAUCGGCAGCUGAGAAGUCAUCCUGCUUUUUCUGAAUUGUUAGCUCAAUACUCACAGCAUGGUUACAGGUGAUAUGUUUACUAUUGUUAAUUUCUGUUGGAAUUUCUAUACUUAGCACCUCCACUUUUGAACAAGGCAUUUUUAAGUCAACAAACUGCCUCUAUACGGCCUGAGGAUUCUGGAUAUUUGUAACUGUCCCUACUGGUAAAUGUUUUCUUAUAGUGAGAAAACAGUCCUUCCUGUGGUAUGAAUGAUGUGUGAAACUUUAAUUUUGAGUCCCUGAAGUUAACAAAGUAUAAGUAAAGCAUUUAGUUACUGAACCUUGGAAGAGUUAUUCAAUGCUUUUGUCAAGAUGUACGGUACAAUUUAUUUUAUUUUAUAUUUUUUUCAAAACAUUACAAAAUAUUUUUAUUCUCUUGCCUGUAUUCAUAUUCCCUGUAUGUCGAUUGACUACAUAUCAUCAGCCCAUUUUGUCGCGUUCAGUAGUUAUAUUUGGAUCCGUUUGUGUGCAUGUGCUGUCAACUUUAUGCAUGUGCAUGUAACAGUGUUUCUUUUUGUUAUAAUGACCGUAUAUGAUGAACAUCCCCCCGUGAUCUUAAAGUUGAUACUGUGUUCUAGUAUUUGACAAACCGUUUAAGUGGUGACAUGCAAUCAUAAGUUUGGGUGGUUCAAUUUGCAUAGGCUUUGAAGACCAUAUUUGAUUUUUGUUAUUUGUUUAACAUAUUACUUUUUUAAUAAGAUGUGUUAUAUCUCAUAAGAAUGCUGAGAGUACCACGUGAGGAAAUGGAAGCAAUGAAUAUUGCAUGAUAAGUAUGUGCCUAUGUAUGAAUAAUAUAUUAUCUUUUUUCAGUGCAGGGAAGGAGCCAAACUAUUUGAUACUUAGUGAUCUCUAUUAUCAUCUGCAAGGAGAGCUUGAAGGCCGUGAAAUCAGUGCUGGACCAUUCAAAGAACUCUCUCGGUUCCUGAUUGAAUCAAAUGUUUUUCAGACUUACCAACACAAGGAUGAUGGUGAUCUUUUUGUAACUGGAAGAGAGACAUACUUGUUUGAUCUUAAACGUGUACGUGCUGAUUUGGGGUUAGAUCUUUGGGAUUAUUCAAAAUGGAAGGAGUCAAAGGCAACUGCAGAAACAAUGUUGCAUCAUAUGAAAGCUGCAAACUCAAUGGCGUUGCUAACAAGUUCGAAGCUUUCUGCACUGAAAGCAUUAAAAAGUGUCUUAACUGUUUACGGUGAUAAUGUAAGUACUCUCUUAGAAUUUCUACUUGCUUUCAGUUGCCUUCUCAUUGUUAAAAACUUGAUCUGUAACUGCUAUUUAUGGUUGGAUAUUUUAACGAUCAUGCAGAUGUAAAAGAUGUAAUGGUUUAAAACAUGUUACAUCUGAUGCUAAUUAAAAACAAAUGUUGAUGUGUAAUAUUUUACAGAACCUGUAAUUUUUGUGUAUAAACUAUUUCAAACAUCUGAUUUCUCAUUUCAAAGAUUUUGGAAGUUGAACAGCAUUAGUGACAAUUUAGUCUUAUGAACACUACGCUAUACCUUGUGUCAAAGGUCGUAUGGAUUUUUUUUUACGAAUAUAUUAUUUCUUUUGAAACUAAUUCAUGUGUGCCUGCUACUGCAGUCGCUGGAGACGAAGAGUACAGCGAGACAAAUCCCUGAUCAACUUGUUUUUUCGUGCAUAGAUCACGUAUGCCAGAGUUUCCACGACACAGUAGAAUCAUUAGCUCCAGUACCUGGUGCUUCUGAAGAUGUCUUCCACUUCCUUGCGGCUCAAGCAGAAUUGCUUCUCUAUCUAAUGAUGUAUGCACAUAAAAGCCUGCCUCUGUCUGUUUGCAUUCUUGUACUAAAAACAUCAGGUUCUGGCCUUAAAGCGUUGAGUGAUUUCAGAGCAUUAGUUACGGGGCCAUCAGAUAUGGGGGUUGACACUGCAGUAAGGCUCUUACUUAUGUUGCUUCUCUCGGCGGUGGAGUUCAGUUGUCAUAAGUCGCAUUUGGUUGGGGCAAGAGAUGUAGCUUCUGUCGAAGUUGCGGCUAAAAUAUCUAAUGUGAGUCUUAGUCUACUACCAGUUCUCUGUAACUGUACUGCUACUGUUGAGCACGGAACCCUCUCCCUAACUACUACGGACUUGAUACUUAGAAAUUUCUUGACUCCCAGCACUUGGCUCCCCAUUAUACAGAAUCACCUCCAGCUUCAGCGCGUGAUUCUGAAGCUUCAAGAUAAAGAUUCUCUUGAAUCUGUGCCUGUUAUAAUGAAGUUCUUUCUGACUCUUGCCCGUGUUAGGCAGGGUGCAGAAAUGCUUAUUAAUUAUGGCUUUCUCUCGUCUCUGAGAUUCUUGUUCGCUGAAUACUUGGAUGGUAUGUCUUCUUCCGUAACUAUUGAUAACAGAAAUUCCAACUCAUCAUCUGAGAAACUGGAAAAGCCUCAGCAAAUUUGGGGACUUGGUUUGGCAGUCAUCACAGCUAUGGUUCAGUCGUUAGGAGACAGUUCUGCUUGUUCUGAUCUUGUGGAGAAUGUAAUACCUUACUUCUUUUCAGAGAAAGCCUAUAUGAUUUCUUACUAUCUUAGUGCUCCGGAUUUCCCAUCUAAUGAUCAUGACAAGACCAGACCUCGGGCUCAGCAGAGACAAACUUCUCUUUCUGAUCUUAAAGAAACUGAGCACACUCUCAUGCUAAUGUGUAUGCUAGCAAAACAUUGGAAUUCCUGGGUUAAGUGCAUGAAAGAAUUGGAUUCUCAGUUGAGAGAGAAAAGUAUCCAUCUUUUAGCUUUUAUCAGUCGGGGAACUCAACGGCUUGGAGAACCUUCGACUCUUAGUGCCCCUCUCUUAUGUCCUCCUGUCCUUAAAGAGGAUUUUGAUGGCUGCAAGAAACCCUCAUUUAUCAACAGUAAAAGCGGAUGGUUUGCUCUUUCAGCCCUCAGUUGUGUGUCAAAACCAAAAUUCUCGUCCAUCCCUACCACAUCUACUGCGCUGAUUAUGAAAACUCAAGCAUCUGUAAAUGGCAAUCACAUUUCUCAAUCAUACUUCUCCGACUCUAUUGCCGUACAGAUCUACAGAAUAACUUUUCUCCUUCUAAAGUUCCUCAGCUUACAAGCUGAGGGUGCUGCUAGAAGGGCAGAAGAGAUUGGCUUUGUUGAUCUUGACCAUUUUCCUGAGCUUCCAACGCCUGAGAUCUUACAUGGCUUACAGGUACGAUGAUAGUUUUUGUUCUUUGACUAGCUUUUUGUUUCAUUAUGUAAAACAUCUGGUCUACCAUAACUUGUAAGUUUCGAGUUGAGGUUCCUUUUUAACAUGGAUGUGUUAUUAUCUCCGAUGUAGGACCAAGCAAUUACAAUUGUUACGGAGCUGUGUGAGGCUAACAGAUCAAACGAGAUUCAAAUCGAAGUCCAGAGUAUCUGUUGCUUACUGGUACAAAUAAUGGAGAUGGCCUUGCACUUGGAACUCUGUGUUCUACAGAUAUAUGGCAUAAGACCUGUAUUAGGGCGUGUGGAGGAUUUUUCAAAGGAAGUUAAACUGUUAAUAAAAGGUAAAACUCCAUUUCUCUGAAUACCGCCUUCCAUUUGCACUGAAUUCGUCGUUUCUUACCAAGUUAUUGCACAUUCAGUGAGUACUCAUUUUUUCUUGUAAUGUGUUUUGUAGCGACAGAGAGACACGCUUUCCUCAAACCAUCUGUGAAGUCCUUGAAACAGAUCGUAUCAGUCAUUUAUCCAGGACUGUUACAGGCCGAUGCGUUUCUGUGAGAUAAUCUUGUGCAUAUAGGCGAAAACCGAAGACUGUAAGGCUUCGGAAGAUAAUGUAAAAACUUUGUAUCUCUCAGAUGAAUGGCUUCAGAAAUAUUCCACAUUUUGCUUAUAAAAUUGUGGGAUUUCUUUCGGCCAUUCCAUUUUGUAUGUAUUGAAUUCCUUUCGAGAAAGAUGUGUUGUAUGAUUGAUGGGCAAGAUUUUGUUGAAUCCGUGGCCAUUUAUCAUUGUCGCGUGCGAAUUUUCUGUCCUUCCCUUUUCCAAAAGGUCCUCCCUCCAUGCUUGAUGGUAUGAUGGGUGUUUAUCAUUGUUUUUGGUACUAGUGGGACCUAACAUGUAUCUUUACCGUGGCAUUGCAUGUAAUUUUGGAAAAGUAUUUUUGCGAAGUGUCGCGGUUUCAUUGCCUUUCUCUCUUUAUUUCUUUCCUCACGUGAUUUAGAGUUACAACAAAUUUAAUGAAAUUUGAUUUCAAGGGUAAAAUAAGCAAGUUAGUGUUUUAAGUUGUUAGAAUGGUGGUGGUGAGCUUGUUAUUCAAGGUGUAAUAAUGGCUAAAAGAAGCAACUUAUCUAGAACAAAAUGAUGGGAUUGUUGAAGCAAUGCUCGUUAUGGGACAUGUUGCUUAGUAACUGUCACGUAUUGAGUGUUGGGAGAAGAUAUGGCCAAGCACUCAACCAAAAUUACCAUACAUGAUCACUAGUUCUAGAAGAAAUUGGAAUAAUUUGAAGAGAAUCCCCCAACUUUUGUAGAGAAAGUGCCCUCCUCUUUUUGGGAACAAUGACCCUAUAAAAGCAUAUUUGACUUGGGAUUCAUAUUUUCCAUUGGCAUCUCCAAUGGUGUAGGUAAAUAAAAUAGACAAACUAUCCUAUAAUUAUUGACGUGGUGAGUUGGCCACUCAAUUGCGACAUAGAAAAAAGUUUUAUCACUUCAAUAGAAUAGUUAAAUUAAGUAGGCAAAUUUUAGUUUAUUUCAUAUUUAACAUCUACUUUUAUAUUUUAUUUUAUAUUUUUUCCCUUUACAUGGAAUACUUUAUUAUAAAAAAUAGUGAUGCGGGGCACAUUUGCCUAUAAUGUUGAAAGCAGAGUUCUAAAAAAUGCUAGGCGCUAGUCGAGCACUAGGCGUUAGUCGGGUGAUGUGUUAAGGCCUAGGCAAAAUUAAGUUAAUUAAUUAUAUAUUGUAUAAAUAAGUGCUUAUUUAUUCUUAAUAAAAUACAUAAUUGUUUUGGGAUAUAUAAAUUGUAAAAUAAAAUGACAUAUAAAUUAUAAUGUAAAGUAUAAAGUAUUAGAACAUAUUAAAAACAUGGAAACAAACAUAUAAUAAAUGUUCAUCUAAAUAUUCAACAAGUUCUUACAUUUUAUUGAAAAAUAUCAAAUGCAAAAUGAAAGUUAUUGGUUUUCUGUUUGAAUGAGAGUCAUGACCUAGGCAGGUCUAGGCGAGCGUCUAGGCUGACUAGCAGAUGCAUAAGCGGGUAUAAGCACCCUUUCUUAGUUUUCAAACAGUUAGGGAUUAAUCGGGACGGUAGUCAGUCGCCUAGACGGCACUAUGCAGAGUUUUUUAGAACAUUGAUUGAAAGUAGUGAAAAUUGCCUACUUUGUAACUUGUGAGUACAUGCAAAAUUUGCAUACGAAAUUGACCACAUCAUUGGAGCAGGUUUUUACCUACGUGAUUGUGGCUUAUCAAAAUAGAUUUGACUAUCUAUUUGCCUACUCCAUUGAGAACCGACUAAUCUUUAAUUUAAUCUGAUUGUUUUUUUUUUUUUGUCAAAAUAAAAAUAAUAUUAAAUACAAAUUGAAAUGUUUAGAUAUCAACCCACGUUUUCCCGGUUGGUGGAUCCAUGCUCCAUGGAUAUACAUUAAUUUAUCCCUUCUUUUUUUUUUGGGCGCAUAAAGAUUGGCCCCCCGAUCCGUAAUUUCAGAUCUUUUGGCUUCACAUAUUUGUUGGCAUCUUAUUAACCCUCGUGACAUCUCCACCGUUGGAUCUGCUCCAGAUGAGGGUCGGUAAAACCAGUCAAAAUUGUCAGUGUUUCACUUUUUGAUUGAAGAGCAUGCGUGCCACGUGUGCCUCAGCAACAUGACCAACCGGCCCUCUUCCAAACGGCGUCGUUUCUCUCCUGAGAUGUCGACGAACCCUUAUCCGGAUAAUGACAAGAGCAUAUACCUACUUCAGUAACUUCACUCGGCCAUGGGUCCCCAUAACUUAACCACGGUUAAAACCCCGACCCAACCACGGUUAACCCAUCCCCUUUCGGAUUCUCUCCACGUGUUCCCAUCCAACGGCUGAAAAAGGCUUGCCCUGGAUAUCCAUCGCAGAAGCCCUUUUAUAAACACCCUCGUCCUCGUGACCUCGUCCACGCAUCACAAACCCUAAUCGUACUCUCUUUCCCCAAAUCACUCCUCUCCAACGAACCAAUCAAACCCUAGCAAUGGCAAAUCCUAAGGUUUUCUUUGACAUGACGAUCGGAGGCCAGCCGGCCGGCCGCAUCGUGAUGGAGCUCUACGCCGACACCACCCCCCGCACCGCUGAGAACUUCAGGGCUCUCUGCACUGGCGAGAAGGGCGUCGGCCGCUCCGGCAAGCCCCUCCACUACAAGGGAUCCGCCUUCCACCGCGUGAUCCCCGGUUUCAUGUGCCAGGGAGGUGAUUUCACUGCCGGAAACGGCACCGGAGGCGAGUCGAUCUACGGCGCCAAGUUCGCGGACGAGAACUUCAACAAGAAGCACACCGGACCCGGAAUCUUGUCCAUGGCCAACGCCGGUCCCGGAACUAACGGAUCUCAGUUCUUCAUCUGCACCGCCAAGACCGAGUGGCUCGACGGCAAGCACGUGGUGUUCGGGCAGGUGGUCGAGGGGCUCGACGUGGUGAAGAACAUCGAGAAGGUGGGGUCUGGACAGGGAAGGACCUCGAAGCCGGUGGUGGUCGCCGACUGUGGCCAGCUCUCCUAGACGAUGCCGUUUCGGCUGCUCAUCUGUGGAU
This 60152-nucleotide long non-coding RNA is filed under the name Malus domestica (apple). RNAcentral describes it as "long non-coding RNA (MDOM_LNC004854)". The record is from RNAcentral. Lineage: Eukaryota; Viridiplantae; Streptophyta; Magnoliopsida; Rosales; Rosaceae.